CGUGGAACUCUUCGAUAUGAAGGUAUGACAUUGCUUGGCUUCUAGGUUAAGUUAAUGCUUAGAUUCUUACUUGAAUUCUAUUUUGUGUAGGGUUCGGAGAAAUAAUGGGAACGCUUUCAAGAAUUGGUUUAUUCGAAUCUGAACCUCAUCCGCUUCUUAAGGAUGCAAAGAGACCCACAUUCAGGAAAUUUUUGUCCGAACUCCUCAAAAUGAAAACUGAAGAUCUGGACAGACCUCUGAUAGGAGAGAAAAUCAUCCCCGAAAGGAUUGUCACGCUCGGAUACUGCAAAGAGCAAGGAGCUGCUGUGAGGGCAGCUAAGACUAUCCUGUAUGCACAUUGCACCUCUUACCCCUUUUCUUUCCAUUCUUCUUGUGUGCUCGUAUUUUCUAGACAGACUAAUACUGAAAUGUAUCGGUUUGUUCUCCAUGUGGAACAGAUUUCUGGGACUUCACGAGCAGAAAGAGAUCCCCUCCUCUUGCAAAAGCGCAUUUGACGUUGCUUGUCUUCGGAUGGAAGAGAGAUUAGCAUACUCCAGCAUGGAACAGGUAGGUUACUUGUGAGACAAGUGAAACAGCGUUAUGAUAGCCAAGUCAUUUUACACCAAAAUUAUGCAUAACCUGUGUGAUUUGUGGUCAGGAUAUGGUGCUUUUGAAUCAUGAAGUGGAGGUUGAGUUCCCGGAUGGACUUCGAGAGAAGCAUACAGGCACUCUACUGGAAUUCGGGAAAAUGAAGAGUGGUAAAAUGAUCACCGCCAUGGCGUUCACUGUUGGAGUCCCGGCAGCCAUUGGAGCUCUGGUACUUGCUGCACGUUUCUAUGAUCUUCUAUAGUAUGCAGUGAGAUAAAUCCCUAACCAAAUUUACUUCCUUGCAGCUCAUACUUGGAAACAAGAUCAAAACCAGAGGUGUCUUGAGACCUAUCGAACCAGAAGUAUACGUCCCAGGUAACCACUUGCUCUUAUUCAUCAUGAUUUAGCCUUUUCGACAUGAAAUUUUGUUGUCCGCAACAUAACUGGCGUAUUUUUGUGGUGUUGCAGCAAUGGAUAUACUACAAGCAUAUGGAAUCAAGUUAAUGGAGAAGAUCGAGUGAUCCGAACUAUCUCCAUUCGUCUUUCCUGACAAAUAUCGACUGAUCCAACUUGAAACUCGACGCGCUACUGCCUGGUAUCGCUCAGGCGCAAGGGAGCACAGAUAUUUGAAAGGAAGUGUUUGAUGUAAAUUAUGUAACAGGGCUCCAAUGAGAAGUUUGCAGUGCCUUUUUUCUCUAAGUUUAGCGGAAAAUGGCGUUUGCAAAUGGGAGGAGCUUACUGUUCCUACUUGGUGUAAGAAAAAUAACUAUGCGAACAAUGAAUUUGACACACUUUAUCAGAUCGAAAUUCAAAUACUUGAGUUCUCCAGGAAUGCUUUGUGAUCACAUCCAAUUGAGCUGGUUAUCGUGUCGGGUUCAAACGAACAUGAUCAAACGUUAAUGCCGUACAAGUUUGUGCAACAAAAUUGAGAAACAACCGAUUCAUGAGUUCAAUGCAGUGUGCAGGCAUUUUCAUGGUUGUCAAAAACAAAAUAAUAGGGUUAGAACAAAAUCCGACAUCUCCGUCGUUCUACUAAUAAAACUGCAGCAGCAGUAAGGGAUGGGUUGGGUUUCAAUCGGUUCAGUUUUUUUCGGAUUUUGGUUUUUCAAACCCACCCCUGGCAGCAGUAAUGGCAAAUACAAAACAACUAGCAAACCUAAAGAACAAAACAAGGUCACACAGUCAAACAAGGGAAAAUUUUGGAUUAUUCAAGAAUUUUCGUCAUCCUCCAUAUUUACAACUUGGGAGUUUUCCUUUUACCCUAUUCUCUUCUAAAUGAAUAAUAAGGAGAAAAAGGAAUAGAAACCAAACCCAAUCCAGGGUUGGCUUUCAGAAAUCUGACACCUAGUUGCCAGAAGUUGGGGCAAUGAUAUGAUAUUAUCACUUCUCACCAUUGUCCAACUAAAACUGUCACCGGACAACCCUAUUUGGUACGGUCUCUAAAAACUUAGAGUUUCGUCAUCAACGAUACUUUCUGUAGCAUCCUUCUGAUGCACUCCAUGUUCUCAACAUAUCUUGACAAAUUGGCAUUCAAUAUGGUAAUGGGUUGUAAGAAUAAAAACUAUGAAAUUAUGCUGUUUAUGGUCAUCAGCUGCUUCUCGACUGCUUCCCAGUUAUGAACCUUGGUGACCAGGGGGUGCUGAUCAACAAGCAGGUAAACAUGCAUCAUUAUUGGAACAGGAAACUUGAAAAGCGGAUUUAUAGGUUCUAAAAACUGAAGGAAAAAUGCUUCAAAAGAUGCAUACUGAGAAGUUUCAAAUUCAUAACAUCUUCGAAACUAUCUGAAGUUGUUCUUGAGGAUACCUGCAUAUUUCUGACUUAGGCCUGGACUCUCCAUGCAAAGCCCAGUGGUUGCCAAGUGAAUCUCCUGAAACAGCCCUGAAAAAUGUUGUUCGAUCCAUUGAAGAGUGUGGUCCUUAAUUACAUUCUGCCGAGACCUAUUAGCACAGACAAGGAUAGGCAAAAUACCCAUGCGUUUGGGUAAUUGUGGUUACCCGCCCAUUUAAAGUUCACGGUUACGGUUAUGGGUAACCGUUUAGAAGAACAAACGGUUAUGGGUAUAACCGUUUAUCCGUGAAAUUUAAAUGGGCGAUUAUGGGUAUUACCAGCGCUUAUAACAGAUAUCCAUCGGUUAUGGGUAUUACCCGCGGUUAUAAUGGGUAUCCAUUUACCUAUUUAAUUUAAUAUAUAUAAAAUUUAAAAAAAAAAUUAAAAACCCUAAAUUUUCAAUCUCUCCACCAGACUCAGAGAUUAUGCAUUAAGGUUAUCGUUUGAUGCAUUUUUUUGUCAAGGUGCAUUACACCCUCAUUGUUGGUGGGAAACUAGAGGGUUUAUGAGGUAUUUUCCCUUUGGUGGGAAACUGUUUGUUCAUCAUGUUGGUGGGAACUGGAGGGUUUAUGAGGUAUUUUCCUACUUGUUUGGGUAUAUUAUUUCAAUUAUUGGAAUUGUAUGAGGACUUAAAUAAUUAAAAUAGGGAAAUGCAUGCUAAAAUAUACCUAUAACGGUGUUUAAUUGUCAGAAAACUAUAAUUAUGACAAAUUUUUCUUUUGUAAUUUUCAAGUUGUUAAAAAAAACAUGUAGACGGGUGAAAAAUGGGUAAAUGGGUAAAAAAAAGAAUAAACGGGUUCAAAAAUGGGUAAACGGGUAAAUGGUUAUGGUUAAAUGGGUAAACGGUUAUGGUUAAAUAGGUACACGGUUAUGGGUAUGGUUAACCGUUUAUAAACGGUUAUACCCAUAGUCAUUUAUGCAAUUACCCAAUGGGUAAACGAUUAUGCGGGUAUAAACAUAAAUGGUUAUGAGUAAAUAACCGCAGUUACCCGCCCGUCAUAACCGUUGCCCAUCCUUCCUUGCACAGAGAUGCCAAAAGAUCAAGUUACUAAAUGCUCGGAUAACCAUAAUAAUAAAAUGGUCUCAGUUAAUUGUACAUACGUCACACCCGACAGGUCACAUAAAUCUGACAACUUAUGUAUCGUCUCCUGAGCACCUGGGAGUGGAUGGAUCCCGAUCUUGAAAUAUGAUGUUUUAAAGAACUCGUGAACACGAUAAUCGGCUGUCAAAACGAAGUAGAUAACCAAUCAUGCCUAUGCUUUAAAGAAAGGAAAAAAGAUAAGGCAGGAAAAAUUUAAGCAGCAAUCUCAAAACAUUUAUCAAAUGUCAGAAUUAAAAAUUGACCACGAAACCAAAAGAAUCUGGUGAUUUAACGCAAAGAUGGAUACAUUUGUAGUACCUUCAUCACGUGAACAGUUCCAUAUCUGUAACAGAAAAAAAAUUGAUGCAUUAGGAUAUGUUCACGGAAAUGUAAGUAUUCUCCCAAGAAAGCAUAUCAUAGGAAAGGGUAACAGAAAAUGUAAAAAUAUAUCCGUGAAGCCUGCUACCAAAGAGAAUUGGCACCUUAAACUACAGACUAAAGAACUCAGAUUUCUGGAGUAACAACUCAACUCAACUCAACUCAAUCAAACAGAGCGAGGAAUGGAUGUGAAAAGGUUGAACCUCCUAUAACGGAUGCGAAUUUAGACGAGCAGCGGCGGCGGCGGCUGGGAGAUAAUUGUCAAGAUGCAUUCAGAAUAGAAACUGUUAAUCCUGAUCUAAUGAGUGCGGAACCCGAAGGGGCAACUCAUGUGUGGCCUGGGUUAGUGAAUUUAGUCGAGCAGCAGCGGCAGUGGCUGGGAGAUAUUUGUCAAGUUAUAUUCUAUUUCUGUGAAAGCGUAUGCAUUAAAAGCUGCGGGGUGCACCUCCUAGCCUCACAUAUCGUGAAUGAUGAAUGUGAUGAUCUGUUAAAAUGGUUUUCCUUAGAUAUCGUUGAUGAUGAAUAUGAUGAGUAACAACAUCGGCUUUCCUUAUCUUCGGAGCCAGCGGAUUAUCAUUCAAAACACAGGCAGAUUGAUCUCAAUGUUCCUAUUGGUAUUGAGAAGGAGGAGGAGGAGGAGCAAGAGUAACCGUCCAUUUCAGAUGAUCCACAAUUUCUGAUUUAUUAGUAGUUCGGGUACGCAUUCGUUUGUUCAUUUCCAUUUUCCUAAUCUUUAAAAUAAGGCGCCGUCGGAUUACAAUUUCAGUUUACAGUUUCCAUUUAUUUGAAAACUGAAAACUGAGAACUCAUUUGGCAACUACUCCUUGUUCUACCGUCUUGCAUUUGCCCUUCUGUUUUCUUGAUAUGUAGACGUUUUUCUUCUUCAUAACUUCUUGUCCUACUGUCAAACGUAUGCAUUUUUGCACCUAUAGUAAAUCAAUGCAGUAAAUUGUCUAAUUUGAACCAUCUGCAUAUAUAAUCUGGCUAGUUGUUGCUUUUACACUAAUCUGGGUUAUAAAAAGCACUCUCUAUCUAAGAGAACGAAGAUGGCCUCCCCAACUCGAUAUAUUAUGUCCGGAGGAUACCUUUACCUAUUGUGUUACAUAUAAAUUUAUAUCUACACAUUCUACUUUUAAGUUCGCACAAUUUAUAUGUCUUUAUCUUUAGCGGUCCUAAACAGACCACCCUAACUACAACAAAAACUUAGUGGCAGCAAAUUGAUGACAUUAAUGUUACUGUCACUAAAAAUAAAUAAAUGCUUUUAGUCACGACAAGGUUGAGACUAAAAGUAUAAAAUAUUGUAACUGAAAAAUUUAAUCAUGAAAAAGUUAUGUAUCUCAGUAAUAGGGUUGUGACCGCACACCCCGUGAGUAAUUGAUUUAGUCCAAAAAUAAAAAACAAAUAGGUAGACCUAAAAUUUAUUAGUCACGAAAAUUAAACCAAUUCCUACAUUUUAGGUACAAACAUUGCAAUCAUUUGUGUCAGCCAUUAUUAAUGACUAAUAGACAUUUAGUCACAACUACUUUUCGCAACAAAAAAAAUCUUAGUAACAACGGUCUUCCAUAACUUUUUUUUUUUUUUUUUUUUUUUUUUCGAGGUUGAUUUGGACCCUUCUGAUUUAUGAUAAAACUGCUGCACACAUACAGCUGAAAGGGUUCGAAAAGAGGAGAGACAAAAUGCGUAAAAGUCGAAAACAAAAUAAUCUCAAGGACUUGGAGAGAAUUUGAAAACCUCGACGACAGUUCAAUGACUAUGAUAUAGGCUGGCUGUCGGGAACGAAUUCAACGCGCUCGCUGUCCUCUUCCAGUUGUGACUGAGACGCCGUAAGUUUCGCCUUCUUGAAUGUGCUUGAACUUUUAGCCAAUUCAUCCCAAUUCAUGUCCUUCAUGCCGGAAGUGCAUGAUUUUAUGACGCUUCUCCCACCAGCCCUUCCGCCUCUUGGCGUGCUCAUAUCUGCAUUGCUUUCCCCAUCUGAGUAGCCAGAUGACGAAUAAUCUGAUGGAGUUUGGGUGCUGGCUUUUGAAAGUUCUUUAUCUUCAUCUUCAGAACUCCCACUACUCUAUUAUCAACAGCUAGCGACUCUAACGAAAGUCUAAUAAUCACAACAAAUCAAGACUAAUAUCUUCCAUUCUAUCACUUGCACUUUCUUUUCUUGCCUAAUAUCUAAAAAUAUCAUCAACAAAAAAUAGAAAUACCAUCAAGCUAAUCAAAUCAAUUAAAAGUUGUUUCUACAAGAUAAAAUCGUCUACAAAUCAAAUGCUGAAAUCAGUAGAAAUCCACACCUAGGAACUUCCAAUUCAGUCCUCAAUGCCAGCAAUGGAGAAAAGCAUGUACCUCAAGAAUAGUACCAUAACUAACAUAAGUUAAACCAGACAAGUUGAAUCAGAGAAACUAUAUAACUGACCCAGUCAAAGGCUCUUCUUAUUGCAUCAAUGAAUUAUUAUUUUUAGAUUCAACAAUUCAACAUUAUCUCCAAAUCCACACCUUUCCAUCGCCCAACUUAUCGAGCUCCAACACAAGUUAUUUACUUUGUAAAGUAUUUCAUAUUUCUUUCCCUUUUUUCACUCACCUUGAUCCACCUUCAUACUCUAUGAGUUUGACCAUAGUGCUGAAGCGACGCCUAUACGACUCACAACUCUUCUAUUUGAACUAACUUAAGAAAAAUGUUACCAUGAGAAUCAAAAGAGAACAUCUGUGCUAGUAGUUUAGUUGUAAUUUUGAACUGACAUCUAAUAGGAGUCAUUGCCUCCUCAUCAGUAUGUUGAUAAAUGAGAACAAAAAAAUGAGUAAGUUUAUACAUUGAAGGGCUAACAUUCUAGAAAUCAGAAAAACAUGGAAACCACAACAGUCGAGCAUCCAAAAGAAAGGCAGUUUAAAUAUGAUGUGUUCCUUUUUAGUUAAAUCCAGGCCUUUUUCAGAUGAAAUGCAUUCUCUUUGUGGUUGCACAAGGCUGGAGAGUUUCCCUGAAAUAGAGGACAAGAUGGAAUCCCUACUUUUAUUGGACAUACAAAAAACGUGGCAUAAGAGAAUUACCUUCAUCAAUUGCUUAUCUUACUAGGCUUAAAAACUUGGAUGCAGAUGAUUGUGAGAACCUUACAAAUAUAUAUAUAUAUAUAUAUAUAUAUAUAUAUAUAUAUAUAUAUAUAUAUAUAUAUAUAUAUAUAUAUAUAUGUGUGGGCCCCCCAAAACUGAGCACAAUUGAUUUGGAUAUUUUAGAUGACAAGUGUAUCACAUUCUUCUUGAAAGAGUUUAAACUAGGGUUUUAGAGACUGACUGCAUAAGCUCAACUCAAUUAACUAUGAGUGAGUUUUGUACUUUAUUAUAUAGGCUUUACAAGAUUACAAUGAAUCUGUUAUAGAGAUUACAAUGGAAUUCAAAUUACAGAAAUACAUAUCAGAAAGCCAAGAUACACGGUGAUGAUAGAGUCAUGUGGAAGGAGAACUGUGAUUCUUCUCAAUCUGUUGAAGACGUGCGUUAUCCAAACUCUGUUGUGGAGUAGUUGAACGGGAACCAUAUAAUGCGGACUGUGUUUGCUGAGUUGACAAGGAUUGCUGACGUGGAGAGCAUGUAGAAUCGUUAGGUUUAUCACUUUCUUCCCAAUCUACACUAUCUUGAUCUUGACGGUUGCAGUUUAUUAGAAAGCUGUGAUUUCCUUGUGCCUCUAGAUUGUUGGUCCACAUUAACAAGAUGAUCUGUCAAGAAACAAUUUUGUUAGUCUUCCGGAUUGCAUUAGUAAAUUUGUCAACUUGAAGCAACUUAGAUUGAUUAGUUGCAAGAGGCUUCGGGAAAUUCCACAAGUGCUUCCACCAAAACUAAUUCACUUAGAUCUACAUGAUUGCACAUCAUUGGAGAAAAUUCAAAACUGCCCCCGAUGCUCGAGUGUCUGGACUUGACUAAUUACUUUAGACUAAGUGGCAAUGAGGUGAAAAAGAUGGAAAACAAUUUGUUGAAUCAGGUUCCUAACUCUCUUCUUAAUUUCUCUUGAAAUUAAUUUGUUGAUACUUGAGGCAUCAGAUCACAGACUGUUAGUAAUUAGUUAUCUAAACAUUAUUUAAUUUUGUAGGAAUCUCUUUGGCGCUCUGGAAAUUAUUCUUCCAGGCUUCCGAAGUGAUUCAGCUAUACCUCUAAACAUCCGACAACAUUUGAACUUCCAUCAGAAAAUGAAAGUGAAGAAGCUGUUAGAGGCAGUGAAUUUUGUUUUGAAAUUCCUCUAAACUUACAAGAUGAGACCUCCGGAUUGGCUCUAUGUAUUGCUGUUGAAGCACCGACUCCUUAUGAUCCAUAUGUUCUCAUCAACGGGGAAAAAGACUUUUAUCCUAAUUUGAAGUACAACAUUGAGGCAACUCAUGUGUGGUUCAAGCAGUGGCGGAUCCAGGAAAUAAUGUUUGGGGGGUCAACAAGGAUAGCGCGCGCAGCGCGAAAUUUUUUUUUAACAAAAACGGCAUGCAUAUCGUCAUUUCAUCGGGUCUUGGUAGGAUAGCGUGAUCAGCCUCUCGCCGAUAGUUACCAUACUAAAAGGUGCCUUCACUUUCCCUGACAACCAAAAAUAAACAUAAAAUUGGGUUGGAUGGUUCAUAAUAAACAUAAAAUUCUGAUGUCAAUAUGGUGGUUCAUAAUAAUAUUUUUUAGAGAUCAUAUUAAUUUAUGUUAAAUAUAAAGAGAAAUAAAGUUGUUAAAUAUGUGGAUGUGGAAAGGGCACACACAUCAUUACCAUUAAUUUAUGUCAAAUAUGUGGAUGUGGACACAUGGGAACUUUGCAAUCUGCACCAAGACUUAAUGGUGACAUCUUCAACUUGACACACGAACCGAACUGACAGUCUAUGGCUUUUUACACAAAGCAAGCAAUUUGAUGCUAGCUGUACAAAUUUGAUUGGAGAGAAACUAAGAAAAAAUAAAUAAAUAAGAAGAGUGUGUGGUCACGUGGUGUGAAAGGAAGAGAGAGAACGUCUUUGUCUUCGUCUUCCUCUUCCGCCAAAACGAACGAAAACUAGAAGAAACCCAGAAAAAUGCAGCAGCUCCAAGAGGUCGCACCAGCAGCUUUAAGGGGUCGCACCAACAGCUCCAAGGGACCUCUAAGGUUAUUUCCAUGGCUUCCAAGGGGUCGUGCGACCCCAUUGACCCCACUGUGGCUCCGCCUCUGGGUUCAAGUUAGUGGAUUUAGACGAGCAGCAGAGAGAUACAUGUCAAGUUAUAUUUCAAUUCCUGGAAGGCUCAUACAUUAAAAGUUGCAGGGUGCAGUCUAUUGCUCAACCAAGACGAAUUGCUUCCCUUGUCUUUAGGAUCAACGAGUAGUCUUGAGAAGAGGCCUCGUCCAAGUGGACCCCCAUAUUAUGAGUAUGAUCAGCUGCAGCAAUGACCUUCCUUGUCUUCGGAGCUAGCGGAUGAUUAUACAUAGCGGAGUCAUAUUUAUCUCAAUGUUCAUGUUGAGAUUGAGGAUCAGGGCCGGCCCUGAGGGUAGCCCGAGUAGAUGCUCGUCUAGGGUCCCCAAAUUUUAUCUUUUUAUUUUUUAUAUAUAGGGAAAUGUUAUUGACAUUUCAAAAAUUUCAUCCUACAUUCUUUACAAGUGUAUUUUUCUUUUCAAAUAUAGAAAGUUUGAAAUGUAGAAUGAGAAUUUUGGAGUGUCAAUCAUAAUUUUCUAUAUAUAUUUAUAUAUUUAAUUUUGGAAUUUGAGUAAAACAUCUAAAUAUGAAAUUAUAAAUAUUUUUUUGGAACUUGCCGUGCAGCGUUUUGGGUGGGGGGCCCCAAAUUUAAAAAAAAUGUAUGUAUAUAUAUAAAUAUAUUUUUAGAGUUUGAAUUUAAUAAAAUAUUUAAAUAUAAAAUCACAUAAUUGUCUUCAAACUUGAGGUACAAAGUGUCUUGGGUGGGGUGAAACUUCAGCAACAAUUCAACUUUUUUUUUUUGUUGAGAAUUUAAGGCACAGCAUACUGGUAGCAAGUCUGCGCCUGUGAAUCGGUUCUUUCCCACUCCACUUAUAGAGGUUAAGUACCCGAUCAAUGCUUCUCUUCUCUUCCGCUUCUUUUUCUAUAAUUUAAUUUGUGACUUGUGAGUGUUGUGCUUGUACAUAUAAUUAGGAUUUUCAAUUCUAGGGUUUAUGAUUUAUUUAUUUUAAUGCAUAUUGUUUAUGCUAAAUUAGAGUAUUCACUUGUCAAGUGUCUAUAUUGUAGUUAUAAAGUGGAUGUACUUAAUAAAGUGAUUAAAUCCCUUCAAGAAGAUAAAUGGAUUAUGGGUGCACUUAACAAGGUUUGUUACUUUUGCUUCCUAACUAGUUUUGGUUCAAGAUAAUUCAAAGUUUCGAUGUUGAAUUUUGUUAACCAUACCAGUUACAGUUGCCUUUGCAAAAAGAAGUUUCUCAUAAUUAAAGUUGAUCAAAUCGUAUCUUCGAUCAACUAUGUCAUAAGAAAGAUUGAAUGGGUUAGCUAUUUUGUCAAUUGAAAAAGAAUUGGAUGAAAAGUUAGAUUAUGUAAACUUAAUUAAUACAUUUGGGUCUAAAAAAGCGAGACGUGUAAUGUUGAAGUAAUGUUUGCAUAUUUUUCUUCUUUAGAUAUGAAUUAUAAUGAUUUUUGAUGUCGAAAUGAAUAUUUUCAUGUAUUUAGCGAAAUUUUUUCUUAUACAUAUAAAUGUACAAUGAGUUGGGUGUCAAAGAACUUUAGGACCCUCACUCGAAGGCUGGCCUAGGGCCCCCAAUUUCUCAGGGCCGGUUCUGUUGAGGAUGAGCAGGAGGGUGGUUCGGUAUGGGAUCCCAUACCGAAACCCUUGUCCCGAUUCCCAAACCGAAAUUUUCGGGAAUCCCAAUUUCAAUACCGAUCCCAAACCAAAUUUUCGGGAAUCCCAAAAUAGUUUCGGGAUUUCGGGACAAAUCGGGAAUCCCGAAAUAGUUUUGAGCUUUUGGGCUUUUGGACAAAAAAAAUGUACCCCAUAUUUUAAUUUUCUCCAGUUACCUUCCUCGGCACCCAAAAACCCAGUUUUAAACCGGAAGUAAGAAACAUAUGGGAGAUCAGUGUAAAUUGCACGAAGCUGCACUCCCCAAGACCCACCAUUGAUAAAUAGCUAGAGGAAAAAUCUUAACUACAACCCAAUUAGACACGAAGCUGCAAUUUGGAUUGUAAAUUGCACGAAUACCUUCAGCCCACCCAUAGUUAUCAUUGAACAAAGCAUUUACGCUAGAGCGAUUAGCUAAAUUGCAAAACUGAACUAAGGGAAAUAACAUCAAUUAUCUAUUCUCCAAUUAAUAGAUCAUUGGAUGAUCCACAAUUAAAACAAUGUAGAUUCAGAGGAAGAAAACAAAAAAGAUUAAAUAUUAUCUAAGAGGAACAAACACACAUUAUCUAAGAGGAACAAUAUAUUAUUAAUGAUUUACUAUUAUCUUAACGACACUUAUUGUGUGUACUUAUACCUUAUAUGCUAUUUUACUUUUCCCCGAACAGAGCAGUUGUUCCUAACAGUAAUAACUAUAAAGACGAAUGGUAACAAUAACAACAAUAGUAUUUUCAAGAAAACAGAAGAUGUGCAUCCAACAAUCCCGAAUGGUAAAAGCAAACCAUGACUCUUAAGUGUGCCUCUGUAACAAUAGAAAAUGAGAUUUCGGAGGAAACAUGGUAGCCUAAAUAGUACCUCCUUACGCCUAGCCUCAAUCAGAGCUGCUUCAUUUUCUUUCUCAGGUUACGAAAACAGAGCUGCUAAACAAUACAUACCAAAAAUUAAAUCUUAAAACCAUUUGAAAACUUCAAAGCAGAAUCUACCAACAGAAAUUAGAUUUCAAAACACUAAAUUAAUUACCUAAUUUGGGGUGAGAGUGAGACUCGGACUCGGUGUUGUGGUGAGAGAGAUCGCGAGAGAAAGUCGCCCGAGAGAGAGAUUGUGAGAGAGAGCGGUGGCUGUGUGGUGUGGUGGUGGGCCGGUGGUUGGCCGGAAUUCGACAUUGACAAAUGAGGGCUCGGUGAGGGAGGAGGCGCAUGGGCUUGGAGUUUGAUGGAUGGAAUCAGGGAAAUGGAACGGAACUGUGAAAGAAAGAAAUGGGAUCUGACCUAAAACAAAUCAACGGCACGGAUUAAAUCUAAAACAAUGAAUGGUUCAAAUAAUUUUCUUAUAAUUAAAAAAUAAUAUAUAUAUAUAUUUUUUUUUUCGGUUCGGUAUGGGAAUACCAAAAAAAUGAAAUGCAAAACCGAAUCCCAUACCGAAAUUUUCGGUUUGGUUUGGAAUUUUUGGGAUUUUUUUCCAGCCCUAAGCAGGAGCAACCGUCCACUUCAAAAUCUCAGAGUGUUGGUGCAAUCCCAUUGUGUGAAUAGUGGAUUAAUUUUAUAAAUGUGGGGGAUAAGGCUGGAGCUCCAUCAUGUUUAUCUGUUUUUGAACUUAGAGUGACUGUGAUUUUGUGGUUUCUCUUUCAAUCUCAUGGGGAGACAUGUGCUUGCAUAGUUAUUACUUAAAAUGAACUUUAACGAAAAGUUUCCAGUACUGUUUAUUUUAACGAAAAAUCAUAUUUUAACAUUAAAAAGUUCAUCCUGGUACUAUUCAUUUUACUCUUUAUUUUGCUUUUAUCAUUAAAACUCAAAAUUUUCAAACCAUUUUCAUUAAUUUUCUUUUAUUUAAAAGGUUAAAAUAUAUAAUAAUACCUGAUAAAAUUAGAAAAUUGUUGAUGUGACACUUGAAGUAUAUGUAAGUUUCCCACAUAACAAACUUAUACCCAUGACUUCUUUUCUUGUUCUGUUUUUCCAUUUCUUAUUUUGUAGAAUGCCCAAGCUGGUUCCCAAAAACCUAUUUCAGUAUUUUAAUUGUAUUGUAGAAAACUGACGUAGGUUCGAACCCUAUUUGGGGAGUUUGGUUUCAUUCCAAGUUCUGAUUUAAGAGAACUCGGGACGGAGGGGAUCACUUUGAUUGUUAAGAGUAGAAAACCCAUUCUUUUAUGAUACUUAAAUUACCAAUUACUGCUCUAAAUUGUCUUAACAAAAACAAAAUUGAUUGAAGAAGAUAUAAUUAGGUACAAGAUUGAAAUUACACAUCAACUGCUUGAAUUAUCAAGCCCCAAAUCCUGCUGUAUAUUUGACACCAGUAGGGGGUAACCACAGGUUGCCUUCAAUAAAUUGGGCCACAGAAUAGUUCUUUACCUGAGUAGACUCAUUAAAGACUCGGUAGCCAGGCCACUUGACCCGGCUUCCGAGGCCCGCUCCAGGCCCAUAAUUCAUGUACUCACCAUAAGACAACGUGCUCAAAGCAAAAUCCGCGUUCCAUUCAAGCCACCCCUCAGGCCUUAUGGCAUUGCUCAAGAAAGAAUGCAUUAUUACAGUUCUUGAAUAAAGCUUCCAAGGCCUACCAAGGUAAGUAAAAGUGGAGUUGACCAAGGGUAACAAGUCUGCAUCUGCAGUUAUGUUGCAGAACUGGAUUGAGAAUCCGGUCGGCUCAUUCGGGUCUUUCCGGCCUUGGGAUGUGACGCUGUUCUUCUGAUUCGGUAGGCCUUUUUUGGCUAAGAUCCGGCAGUUUUGGAACACAACAGUUGCAUCACCAAAAAUGAAGUCAACUGUACCACUUAUUUUGCAAUAUUUAUAUAUUUCUUCUUUCAUAAUAUUUUGCAUGUUAUUAAUGAAUAUGUUAGCAAUAUUAUCGAUCCCAUUAAUAUUAUCACCCCACUUGCACGUUGGCUUAAUAAAUAUUAUCUCAUAAGUUUCUUUCUGAUGUAGUUUACUAAUUAAGUUUAACGACCAAUGUGAUCAAUGCCUUUGUAUCAUCGUUUUCAGUUCAGUUCCAUACAUAUAAUUGUCAGUCAUAAACUUGACUUGUGUUAAAUCCUACGUCUUAAAUUCUUUUUUUUUUUUUAGCUAACAGGAAAAUAAGAGGCCUAGAAUAAGAUCUUGGUCGUUGUUUAUCUCAUUUCUUAUGAAAAGUAGAGUUGACAUAUAAGGAUUCUGCUUUUCUAUUAUGUGUCAUUGAGUGAUACAAGUUGUGGACGACCUGAAUUAAACCAACCUCUUAAAUUAAACCAAACCCGAUAUAUAGGUUAACUACUUAAAUUUUAACUAUUAAGAAUUGUAUGUAUUAGUAUAUAUGUGAAAUCUCAUCAUCGGAAUUUCACCAUUUAUUACGUAUUUAGUAAUUUAAAUUCGUAUUUUGCGAUUACAUUAUCUUUAUUAGUUAAUUUUAAUUCCACUAAUUAUAAGUUUAGUAAUUGAUUAGUUAUCGAGUUGGAAGUUUCAUAAUCAAUCUUUAUUUUUCGUGGACAUUUCGAAGUUACAACUAGUGUUUUUAAAUAGAUCUUGAACCCACAAACGUAUAAGCGAAAACCGUUUGCGAGUCUGAAUUAUAACGGUAUAGUUACGAACGUUUGAAGUGAUGAAAAUAUAGAUUGUGGGAAUUAUUCUAAUUUCCACUUAUGAGUAAAAGGCCCAAACUUUUUUUUUUGGAUUAAUGAACCGGCUACUAUAAGUGGAAUUGGGCAUUUUAGGUGGUGGAAAAAGAUUAGUCAGCAGCCUUAAAAGGGGACACAUCAGAUUUUUUUAAAGGAGGAGAAAGGACCCUAGGAAGGAAGGACCUAAGAGGAAAAAGAGGAUUUUCCCCCUCCAUUUCCGUCGACCCAUUUUCACGCACCCACCGGAGUGGUUUCCGACCAUUUCCACCAUUUUUUUCAAGAGAAAUUCAACCAUCCAUCACUUGCAACCUCUUCCACCAUCUCCCAUCUUUCAUCUCCACCCAAAUUUGAGGGUUUUUAGGUCCAAAAUAGUGUAAAACAGUGCGGGUGACCCAAGGAGUUUUGACGGCGAUUCCGCCAUUCUAGCUAGUCUCACCACCAAACACCACCCUUAAUCAACUCUCCUUGGACCCAGAACAAGACCCAAUCAGUUGUAGGAGUGUUAGAACACCAAGGAAGCCGAAUUGAAGAACACCCACCUUAGGGUUUCGUUGGGUGUGAGCCAAUUGGAAGGCCUUCCUGGCCAAAUUGGACUCGACCACAGGUAUAAAGUUUACUCUACUUGUUAAAAUCUUCAUUCUUGUAAAAUUUGAGAAUUUUUGGAAAAAGUCGAAUUUUCCGAUAUGUGACAUUCGAUUUAUGAAAAUGUUGUUGAUUGUAUAUUUUAUCGAUAAGGUGUGCCACUUGAUUAUUCUAAUAAUUGACAAUCUUAUCAUCGAAUUGAGACAAGAUUUUAAUAUGCUAUUGUAGAUAUUGUUUAAGGACCUUAGGGACUUAUAAGUGAGAAUCUAGUGAUUGGAUUUUAUGAAGCAAAUGACGUAAGAUCAUGCACUCUAUAUUAGAAUGACGGUUCGAUUCCUCAUUAAAUGUUGUUGUGGGAAACAUAUGAGAAUUUUUAAGUAUGUGAAUUAUCGAAGGAAAUCUAAAUGUGGACUUGUGCUUUGUUAGGCGGUGAUAGAACGUGAUGCCUUAACUAUCGUGCUAGGGUACAUUAGCACGGACUCCAGAUGAGUGACUUUAAUAUAUGUGAUAUUGGUAAUUACCAGUUGUCAUAAUUACGAUCAUGUGUCGAUAUGAAUUGGUUUUAUGAAUAUGUUCUAUUGAAUUGUUAUUCCAAUACUUCGACAUCAAUGUUGAGAUUAAUGUGAGGACUAGUAAUGACUGUUAACCAUUAUGUUGGGGAUUUGUUGCUUUGAGAUUGUUUCAUCUUUCGCUUUGAUGAUUGGUUAUAAAUUUAGUAAUUGUGCCUAAUCUCCCUUUGUUGAGUUUUUGUAAAUUAAGUAGUAUGUGCUUGUCUCAUUUCUUUUACCGCCGUACAUUCUGAUUGUUGGUCUUCUGCGAUUCCGUUGAGUGAUGGUCCGGAAUCAUAUCCACUCGGAUUUCGUAGAGAGAUGGUCCGGAAUCCCUUCUAUUCCGCGAUUCCGUUAAGUGAUGUUCCGGAAUCGUAUCUAAAUUGGGUUUCAUUUAGUUGUUGUUACAUAUUGUAUUUAGCGAUUCCGUUGAGUGAGGGUCCGGAAUCGUAUCCACUUGGAUUCCGUUGAGAGAUGGUCCGGAAUCCCUCCUAUUUCACGAUUUCGUUGAAUGGUGGUCCGGGAUCGUACUCACCUUGGGAUUUAUUGAAUUUGAAUUGUGAUGACUUCAAAGGUGUAGGCUUCGGCCAAACUGUAUCGCUCUAAUUCUACUUUUCAUUGUGUUGCAUGAGAAGAUGGUUGUGAGAUGUUAUGAUUGGUUUCAGACGAACCGUUGGAUGUCUGGGUGACUCCUUCGGGGUUUACAAAAGUUGGUAUUGAUUUCUUAUGAAUGAUUUAUAUUCAAGAUGUGUAAAUUGUGUUUGAUGGUUGGCAUUAGCAUUAUUAUCACAUACUUGAUAUUAUUGUCACUCUCUUAAGCUUCGCAACUUAUCCAGGUUGUUGUUUGCCUGGUGUACCAUUCCAAUGGUGUAGGCACCGAUCGUACAGGUGAUAGGUUUGAUUAGAUUCCAAGAAGUUUGUAGGUGGGGGUAGCAGUGCAGUGAUCAGAGACUUGGAGCGUUAGGUUACCCUUGUUUCACUUUUGUACUUUAUCUUUUGGGACUUUCUUUUGAGCACCUCAUACUUGUUCUUAGUAAAGCAAAGAUUAUGCUUCUUUUUGGGAUGUACAUAUUUGUAAAUAUUUAGUGGAGAACUUAGCCACCUUCACAUUAUUUUGGGUUAUCAGUUAAAGUAUUUCAUUCCGUAACUUAUGCUGUAUUCAACGAACAUUAUUUUCCUUGUCACGUGUCGAUUUUCGACGUAUGUUGAGAUCGGGAUGUGACAAUAUAUGCACAUACUAGUUUUAUCAUGUCUCUAUAAUUGAAUUUGGGACCAAAAAGAUGGUGAAGGGCUAUUCAUACGGUCUGGCAAAGAGAUUUCAUGCACAAUGUAGGCAACCAUGUUCCUUACAACUUUCAUGUGCAAUAAACUGUUGGAUUCAUCUUUUCAACAUAAUCUAUAGCUCCUUCUUUUUCUUAAAAUAGGCUAAUAAAUUUAUGGAAGAGGAACAAUGGUGGUAGGGUGGGGACCACAGCACAGCUGAGUUGCUAAAUUAAUCGACAUUGGGAUCAUUUGAAUGUUUUUAGAGUAAAUCUUUGCUUUCUCUUUUGUUUGACCGUCCUUGGGGUGGAAUUGUAAUGCCUUUCAAGUAGGGGUGGGCAAACGGGUACAGGAACCGCGGGUCGGGGCGAGUAAUGGCAGUUUGGGACGGGUACGGACCGGUUCUUAAUUUCGUAAAAACAGAUCGGGCCGGGUAAUUGAAGUAUUCGAUUCGGGCCGGUUCCAAAAGUGUAGGAACCGUGGGUACCCGGACCGACCCGUGUGUGUUACAAUGGAUGGACGAGAUUUAAGAUACAUCUCUCCAUCCAAUCUCAACUGUCAAUUUCAACCUAGCUAAUUCCACGUCUCGAGUUCAAGAAGCACCCUCCUUUCAGACUUCAGUCUCUCAGAUUCUCAGACUCUCCCUCGACUCCCUCUCCCUAUCCCUUCCUUCCCUCGACUUCAAUUCUCAUACUCUCUCAGUCUCACUCACAAACUUACUCCCACAGUGCUCACCGCCGUCGGGACCAACACAACAGCACCAUCAACUCCGCCGUCGCGACCACUAUUACUCACCCUAUCACCACCGUCGAGCUCCAACUCUCAGACUCUCACAGCGCUGUCGCAACCAACACAACGGCACCACCUCUGCCGUCGCGACCACCAUCAUCACCCCAUCACCACCGCCGUCACGACCACCUGCUACUACUAAAUUUUAGGUAAUUUUGAAUUAGGUUUUAUUAUUAAUGUGAAUUUCUGGUGUAGGGAUUUUAGGGAUUUUAGGGAUUUGCCGAAGCAAGAAGAGGUUGCUGUGGAACAGGAAUCGUAGAGAGAGACAACAUCACUGCUGUGCAAUCCAAACUCAGUCGGAACUUGUUCCAACGCGACUCAAUACGUGUUUUGGGAUAACGUCCAUCAAUCUCAAGCCACUAACUAACCAUUGGAUAAGAGGAUUAUACGGAUCUUUCUGUAUCUCAAAAAAUGUUUAAAGACUGCUACUACUUGCUUUUAAAUACUGCUAUGUUCCGAUUGAUUUAGCUAAACAAUUUUAACGGAAGAGAUUUUAUACAAAACCAAUUAGAUUUAGCUAAACAUUUAGCAAAUCUUUUGCAGUGUUUUGCAAAUUUACCAAAAGACAGCACCAAAAUGCUUUGGUUAGGCGAAGCUACUUAUGGGUAUUUAGUUUGGUUUUGGCAGUGUUCAUCAUACGGUUUUUUAUUUACCCUUCUUUUGUUCUUUUAUGUAUGAAGAUGAUCUGUUUAUAAUUAUAACACAAGGAUCGUACUUAAGAAGUUAAAUUAUGUUUUCCUUUUUGUCUUAACUGAUUUUGUUUUCCCUUUUUUUCCUUGUAGGUACUCCAUGGACUGAAGAGGAACAUACCAACUACAUAGCUUGGUAAAGGUGAGUGGCUGACGAUAUAGGUGCCAGCAUUGGUCUUCUUUAAAUUAAAAAUAAGUGAUUUAGUUUUGACAUACAUUCACCAUGGGGAAAAACACAAGAAAUGUUAUCUCUUUUUUCCUUUUUUCUUCCAUGAAAUAGAUUGGUAUCUGGCUGUCGUGUCUGUAGACUCUGUAUUGCUGUUUUCAGAUUGCAUUUCUAAGUCUUUAGCUAUUUGCAUUUUCUAAGGCUCUUGGUGGUUUUAACAAAGUUGCCAAGUUAUAUUUGUUAUUCAUGGUUUUGGUUAAUUCCAUAUGUCACUGAUCCUCUCGUAUAUUGUCUUUAAAAUUUGUAUAUGUCAUAGUGUGGGAAGUUGAGAGUUCCAGUCACCUUGUUAGAUCCCUGUUAGUACAAAAAAUAAACCUUUGAAGUAAACAACUAUCUAUUCAACUUCACUAAUCUAAAUAGUUCUCUCAUUGUAACACUUUAUUGGAUGUGCUCCUAGAUUCCGUCAUCAGCAUUCAUCUGUUUUUGGAUUUACAGGAUGCACUAGCUUACCCAAGUCAUUGCACUUCAUGUUAUGUUAAUGAUGUGUUAUUCACAAAUUUGAAUCCUUAUGAAAACCUGUCAGAUAAUUUGACAUUUUUUCACUGUUUCUAAUAAAAUCUGUUUAUGUUAUGCAGGACACUCUGUGUGCAGUUUUUUCAAACUGCAAUUUAUGCAAUAUGUGCAAUCUGUGCAGCAAACAUUUUUAAACAGCAAAAAAAAAAAAGAUCCGUGUACUCGGACCGAACCAACCCGUUUCAACCGGGCCGGGUAAGGUCCGGUUCCUAUUUUCAGAAUUGUAAUGCCCGGCCCGGCCCAUCCUAUCUCCUUUAAUUUAGGGUCCGGUCCAAUCCCUUCAAAAAUUGGCCCGCCCGGCCCGUGCCCAGCCCUACUCUCAAGUUAAGAAGUCAUCAAGCUGAAAUUUCUGUGCAUUCUACUAUUCCUUUCCUCUCUCAUCUCUUUUUUUUUUAGGUAACAAGAAAAUAUAAGGUCUUGGUUGUUGUUUAUCUUAUUUCUUAUGAGAAAUAGAGGGGAUCUAUAAAGAAUUCUAUUUUCCUACUACGUAUUAUUGAAUAAUACGAGUUGUGGAAGGCCUAAAUUAAACCAAUCUCUUGCAUAAUAUUAACGGGUUAUAAUAAAAAAUGAAAAAGAGUCUGUGUCAUUAGGAAAACUUGAUAUAAGUCCAAUUUUUUUAGCCAAUAGUAGAAAUAGUCCAAUUUAUUAAAAUAAGUCCAAUUCCUUAAAUUUAACUAUUUUAUUAUCAAUAAUUAUCUUUUGAGAAAAUUAGAAUUAGAAGCCUCAUUUUAGACUUUUGUAGACUAAACAUUUAUGCUUUUUGAGUUUUUGAUUAAGCUUUUGAAACAUUUGAUUAAGAUACUUAGACUUGAACUACUUCAUAUUAAUUGAAAUUAAUUUACAUUUAAAUAUCUGCUAUAUAUUUUAAAUAAUUUCAACUAUAUUUAAGUCUAAAAAUUUAAACUUUUCAAAUCUAAAUGUACAUCCACGCCAAAUGGAAACAUACCAAUAUUAAAUGAAAAUGUACCAACAUCAAACAAAAACAUAACAACCCUGAAUUAAAAUGUACCCAAUUAUAAACUAUCUUAAAAUGAAUAUUCAUCUUUUUGGAAUGUUUAAAAAUAUGUAUGAUUUAUACACAAUGCUCUAGAUAGUCUUGUUUUUUUGUAGAUAAGUUCCUGGAACAACUUUAAGUUGAUUAGAGAUAAAUCCUUAUUAUUGUAGAUAAUGCUAAAUAAUAAUGAUAAAUCAUAUAAUUUUGAAUUAACAAAAAGGUUAUUAUAUGUUGAUUAAUGACUCUUUCUAGAAAAAUAAAAUUAAUUAAAGUAAUUUAAACUUUUACAUUGUUAACGACUAUUUCUAUAAAAAAAAUUAAUUAAAGUAAUUCCUCAUUAUUAGGACAAAAAGUAAUAAAAUUUAUGUUUUGAGAACAAACAUACCAAAAAUUCAAAUGUACCAAAAACUAAAUGUACCAAAAAUUUAAAUGUACCAAGAAGCCAAAUGGAUCAAAAAUUCAAAUGUACCAAGUAACUAAAUGUACCAUUAUAAUCAAACGUACCGAUAUAAUCAAACGUACCUAACAACGAGUUUUGUUACAUUCUAUUUAAUUUACUAAAAUAAAUAUUUUAAUAAAAAAUAAUAAAAAAAUCUUAAAUCAUCAUAAUAAGAGAUGCAUAAAAAUAGGAGGAAAAAAGGGAAUGCUAACGUGAAUAGACUUCUAAUGAAAUAAAAUUAAAGUAUCAAAAUUGUAAGGAAAAUGUUUAAUCAAAUUUGCAAAAGGAAUAGAUGUUUAGUCUAUGACAUUUAAAAACGAGGUGUCUAAUUCAAAACGUCCCUUAUCUUUUCAAUGAUAAGAUUUAUUAUAAAAAUCAAAUUUAUUCCUAAUUAUCUCUUUGAUUAUUUAUUUUAUUUAUUUAUUGCUCUUUCUUGUUCUUCCUCCUGCUUUAAACUCCAUUUAUAGAUUUUAUUUUUAAUUUUUAUAAUCAACCUAUAUCAUAGGUUAAUUAUAUUUAUCUACCUAUAUGACAUAUUCUUUUUUAUAAUCAACUAAGAUUAAUGUGUCUUGCUUGUAGGUAUAUUAUGUUUUUUCUACCUUUUAGUUAGGUUUCAUAUCUUGCUUUAUAUGUAUGAUAUACAUUCAUAUAUUUGUUACUAGAGUUAGGGUAUAAUGUUUUGCAGAUGAUUUAUGUCAGUGUAUUAGUUUUUUUGUUAUAAGAUAUUAAUUAUAUUUUUUGGAGUUGGAAAAUGCAUAAUAUUAGAAUAUUUUAAUUGAUUUUUAAUAUUUUUAGAAAAUAUAAAAUGAGCAUAAAAAAUUAAAUAUAUGUAAUUAAGUAACUAAACUCACUCCUAAAAAUCAUCUAUAUUUUUUAAUCUGGAUCUAAAAGCAAAACAAUACGCACUAUGGAAGCCAAACCCGAUAUAUAGGUUAACUAUAGGGCUAGUCAUACGGCCCGGCAAAGAGAUUACAUCGGAGAUAACGAAGGAUCGUACAACAUUUGGCCUUUGGAAGUGUCGGAAUUAUUAAUUCAUUCUUGGUGAAGAAAGGCCACAGGUGAUUACAAUAUCAAUGAAUAAUAGAAUACCGACAAACCAUAGUGAGUAGAUUGCUGAUCAAACAUAAAAAAUAUAAAAUAAAAUAAAAAAGUUCUUUUUUUUGUUUUUGUCAAAAAAAAAAGAUAAAAAAAAGGUUCAACGUAUAUAACAAAACAAAUGGUAUAAGACACAUAGUUCAUUAAAUUUAAAGACCGCCACUAGUUAGUGGAGAGAAACUUAUCUACACUGAAGAUACUUCUCAUGGUAUAUCUAUUUUAUUAGUAACGAUUUUAUAUAUUUCAGUCGGCCGUGAUUAUUUUAAAAUACCAUUAGGGUGGAUUGUUACAUCGAAGGUGGUAAGUAAUAGUUUCAACGAAACUUCCUCUCCAAUAAAAUAAUCGCAUUGAUAUUGUCACAUUAAUAGGUAGGAAAAUGCUUUCGUAUGUAGGAUGAAAAGCGUGAAGCCUGAUAUAAACAAGAGAGAGUCCUUGACGAACCCAGUCUCUUCAGUUUAUUUCUGGUUUGAAUUCUCCUAUGACCAAUCAACUUGUCUCUUCUUCUUCCUUGCCUCCUUCAUGGACAUAUGAUGUGUUUUUGAGUUUUAGAGGUGAGGAUACACGCUUUACUUUUACAGAUCAUUUAUACCAGGCCCUAGACCGUAGUGGAAUCAACACCUUCAUAGAUCGCCAUCUUACAAGAGGAGAAGAAAUAUCACCAACUCUUCUCGAAGCAAUUGAAAAGUCGAGAAUUUCGAUCAUUGUAUUCUCUGAAAACUACGCAUCCUCAAGAUGGUGCUUGGAUGAGCUUGUACAUAUCCUUGAAUGUAGAAAAUCAAGGCAGCAAAUAGUUUGGCCAGUUUUUUACAAGGUGAAUCCGUCUCAUGUACGAAAUCAAACGAGUAGUUUCGGUGACAGAUUUACAGGACUUGAGCGCAAAUACAAGGACAAGGAGAAGAUCCUCUUAUGGAGUAGAGCUCUUCGAGAAGCAGCAAAUUUGUCUGGACGUACUGUCAAAGAGGGAGAGUACGUACAUUUCUUCUUUCCUUAUAGUUUGUUUAAUUAUAUGAUUCUGUAUUUCAGGUUUCACUUUCUACUACAAUAAUACCUAUUUAGUUGCAAGUUUCAUUUUUAGUUUUUAAAAUCCCUACCAAGCGGCACAUGCUUGACUGCAGCUAUUGUGUAAGAGGAGUGCUAGGAACCAAACCAUCGCUACCACUCAUUCUAUCAAUUUCCGCCUUUGUUGAAUGGUAAGUCUAUAAUUGUAUAUGAAGAAGAUAACUAUUACUUUAUGCUAAACCUACAUGACCAUCUUCUUCAUAUAUAAAUAUAGACUUGUCAUUCACCAAAGCUAGCAAACGAGGGAGUGAGUGUAAUCCUCUCUAUCUUUUUUUUUUCAAAGAAAUAUAGCAAAAAAGUGGAUUGACUAAAUAUGUCAAUAUUUUAUUUACAUGGGUAGGUACGAAGCUACAUUUAUCAAUAAGAUUGUUAAGGAGAUCUUAGUCGACGUACUACAACACACAUAUUUGAAUGUGGCCAAAUACCCAGUUGGAAUACGGUCUUGUGCAAAGGAGGUGGAGAAGAUUUUAGGUGUUGGUGCAAAUGGUCGUUGUGUGGUUGGGAUUUGGGGGACAUCUGGAAUUGGCAAGACAACAAUUGCAAAAGCUGUUUAUAAUGCAAUUGCUCUUAAGUUUCAAGGUAGUUGUUUCCUGGCAGAUGUUAGAGAAACAUCAAUACAACAUGGAGGAUUACUCCAACUACAAAAGACUCUUCUAUCUAAAAUUCUAUGCGAUACAGAGUUGAAAGUUGUUGACGUUCAUGAAGGAAUCAGCCUUAUGAAGAAACUGUUGAGGAAAAAGAAGAUUCUCUUAAUUCUUGAUGAUGUGGAUGAAUUGAAGCAGUUAAACAACUGGGUUGAAGUCGAUUGGUUUGGUGAGGGUAGCAGAGUGAUCAUAACCACAAAAGAUAGAGGAUUGCUGGAAUCUUAUGGAGUCAAGUUGAUAUACAAGGUCCAAAAGUUAGAAGACGACAAGGGUCUUGAGCUUCUAAGUUUGAAUGCCUUCGGAAGAAAAGAACCUCCAGUUGAUUAUUUGAGCCUCGCACGACAUGCAAUAGCCUAUGCUCAAGGCCUUCCAUUAGCUCUUAAUCUUAUAGGUUCUCAUUUGCGUAAUAAAAGUAUAGAUCGUUGGCAAGCUAUAUUGGAUAGUUACGAUUCUUACGAAGGAGAACCUUAUAGAGGUAUUCAAAGAAUACUUCGAAAAAGUUAUGAUGCCUGGGAUUAUGUAGUGCAACAAGUUUUCCUAGACAUUGCAUGUUUCUUCAAGGGUGAAGAUAAAGACUAUGUGUUAGAAAUAUUAAGAAGUUCGAAGCUCAACGUACCUCAAGAUUGUAUGGAAGUACUUGUUGAAAAUGCCAUUAUAACUAUUGAUAAAGAUAAUAGGAUUUUGAUGCAUGACUUGCUAGAAAAAAUGGGUAAGCAUAUAGUUUAUGAAGAAUCUCCCACUGAACCAGGAAAACGUAGUAGGUUGUGGUUUCAUGAAGAUGUGUACAAUGUUCUAACUGAAAAUCGAGUAAGUAGAAUAUAUGUUCUUACAUUUGUUUUGUCAUGAUCUGGUUUGAAGUGAAAGCUUUUUAAAUUACAUGUUUUGUUAACAAUAUGUCAUUUUUUUCAUCUUAGGGAACAAAGAAAAUUAGAGGCAUUGUGGUGAAGCUGCCUGAACCAGAUGUGAUACCCUUGAAUGCAGAAAGCUUCUUGCAGAUGGUAAAUCUUGAAAUUUUUAUAAAUCGUAAUGCACGCUUUUCUGGACACGUUGAUUAUUUGUCCAACGAUUUGAGGUGGAUUGAAUUGGACGGACGUGAUUUUCAAUAUUUGGGAUUCAAUAUUCCUCAAAAGCAUACGGUUGUGUUCAAUCUGCCGUCCAAUUAUAAUCCAAAACAUCUUGUCACGUUUGAUAUUCCAAACAGUGGCAUCAGACAAUUGAAAGGGUUUAAGGUAUGUAUAUUUAUUUUAAAGUAAUUUGGACAAUUGCUAAUUUAAAUAAUAUUUUAUUUUCGGAAAAGAGAGAAUUUUCAAAAUUUUCAUUAUAAAUGUAUUCAAAACAUGUGACUUUUUGUUUUUUUGUUUUUUUUUUUUACAGAAUUUGGCAAAGCUUACAUCAAUCAAUUUAAGUUAUUGCGAAUUCCUAGAAAAAAUCCCCGACUUCUUCGGAUGCCCAAACAUAAAGGACUUGAAUCUAAGUUUUUGUAGAAGUUUGGUUGAGGUUGAUGAUUCUGUUGGAUUCCUCGAUAAACUUGAAAAUUUGAAUCUUCGUGGGUGCUAUAAGCUUACGAGGUUUGCAACAAGACUUGAAUUGAGAUCCCUUCAAAAGUUUUCUCUUUGUGGCUGCACAAGGCUUGAGAAUUUCCCAGAAAUAGAGAAGGACAAGAUGGUAUCCCUAUCGUCUUUGGACAUAGGAGGAAGUGGCAUAAGAGAAUUGCCUUCCCCAAUUGCAUAUCUUACUGGGCUUCGAAGAUUGACAGCGCGUGGUUGUGAGAACCUUACAAAUAUAUCAGUACAUCAUAUUGUUGGGUUGCAGCAUCUCCAAGAUGUUGAUUUCGGUGAACGCCCAAAACUCGUGAUCGAAUCUCAGCUGCUUUCAACUAACUUAAAUGACAACGGUAUCAUAUUAGCCCUUCCAGAGCUAGAGUAUCUUUGUCUUGAUGGAUGCAAUUUAUCAGAAAGUGAUUUUCUUGUGCCUCUUGAUUGCUGGUCUACAUUAAGCAAUCUUGAUCUGUCAAGAAACAAUUUUGUUAGUCUUCCAGAUUGCAUUAGCAAAUUUCUCAACUUGCAUACACUUAGAUUGAGCGGGUGCAAGAGGCUUCGGGAAAUUCCACAAGUCCUUCCGCCAGAUCUAAUUUACUUAUAUCUGGAUGAUUGCACAUCAUUGGAGAAAAUUUCAAAACUACCCUGGAUGCUUGAGUGUCUUGACUUGACUAAUUGCUUUAGUCUAAGUGACGAUGAGAUGGAAAAGUUGGAAAACAAUUUGUUGAAUCAGGUUCCUCCCUCCUCUUAAUUUCUCUUGAAAUUUAGAAUUAUAUUUUGUUGAUUCUUGAGAGAGAUUAGAUCACAAUGGUUGCUAAUUAGUUAUCUACAUAUUAUUCACUAUUCCAGGAUUCCCUUCGGCGCUUUCGACUCCAAGUUUUUUAUCCAGGCAAUGAAGUUCCAAAGUGGUUCAGCUAUACUUUUAAACAUCCAAAAUUAGUAGGAGGCAGUGAAUUUAGUUUUGAAAUUCCUCUAAAUUUACAAGUGGGGGAGAAGUUAUUAGGAUUUGCUCUAUCUUUUGUUCUUGAAAAAUCGACUUAUGGUCCUAGGUUUAACUAUAUUCUCAUCAACGGAAUAGAAAAGGUUGAACCUCCUAUAACGGAUGCGAAUUUAGACGAGCAGCAGCGGUGGCGGUUGGAAGAUAUUUGUCAAGAUGCAUUCAGAAUAGAAAGUGUUGAUCGUAAUAUAAUGAGUGCGGAACCCAUAGAGGCAACUCAUGUGUGGCUUGGGUUAGUGAAUUUGGUCGAGCAGAAGCGGCAGUGGCUGGGAGAUACUUGUCAAGUUAUAUUCUAUUUCAGUGAAAGCGUAUGCAUUAAAAGCUGCGGGGUGCACCUCCUAGCCUCACAUAUCGUGGAUGAUGAAUGUGAUGAUCUGUUAAAAUGGUUUUCCUCAGAUAUCGUUGAUGAUGAAUACGAUGAGUAACAACAGCGGCUUUCCUUAUCUUCGGAGCCAGCGGAUUAUCAUUCAAAACACAGGCAGAUUGAUCUCAAUGUUCCUAUUGGUAUUGAGGAGGAGGAGGAGGAGGAGGAUGAGCAAGAGCAACCGUCCAGUUCAGAUGAUCCACAAUUUCUGAUUUAUUAGGAGUUCGGGUACGCAUUCGUUUGUUCAUUUCCAUUUUCCUAAUCUUUUAAAUAAGGCGCCGUCGGAUUACAAUUUCAGUUUACAGUUUCCAUUUAUUUGAAAACUGAAAACCGAUAACUCAUUUGGCAAUUACUCCUUGUUCUACCGUCUUGCAUUUGUCCUUCUGUUUUCUUGAUAUGUAGACGUUUUUCUUCUUCAUAACUUCUUGUCCUACUGUCAAACGUAUGCAUUUUCGCACAUAUAGUAAAUCAAUGCAGUAAAUUGUCUAAUUUGAACCUUCUGCAUAUAUAUUCUGGCUAGUUGUUGCUUUUACACUGAUCCGGGUUAUAAAAAGCACGCUCUCUCUAAGAGAAUGAAGAUGACCUCCCCAACUCGAUAUAUUAUGUCCGGAAGGAUACCCUUACCUAUUGUGUUACAUAUACAUUUAUAUCUACACAUUCUGCUUUUAAAUUCUCACAAUUUGUAUGUCUUUAUCUUUAGCGGUCAUAAACAGACCGCCUUAACUACAACAAAAACUUGGCAGCAAAUUGAUGACAUUAAUGUUACUCACUACAAAAACAAAAAUAAUGCUUUUAGUCGCAACAAGGUCGUGACUAAAAGUAUAAAAUAUUGUAACUGAAAAAUUUAGUCAUGAAAAAGUUAUGUAUCUCACUCACUAACAGGGUUGUGACCACACACCAUGUGAGUAAUUGAUUUAGUCCACAAAUAAAAAACAAAUUGGUACACUAAAAAUGUAUUAGUCACAACAUACCUUUGUUACUAGAAAAUUUAACCAAUUCCUACAUUUUAGUUACAACAUUGCAAUCAUUUGUGUCACCCCUUAUAAUGACUAAUAGACAUUUAGUCACAACCACUUUUCGCGACCAAAAAAAAAAUCUUAGUAGUAACAGUCUUCUAUAACUAAAACUCUAUUAUCAACAGCUAGCGACACGUGUGUUGUUCAAGUUAGUGGAUUUAGACGAGCAGCAGGGAGAUACAUGUCAAGUUAUAUGUCAAUUCCUGGAAGGCUCACACAUUAAAAGUUGCAGGGUGCACAGUCUAUUGCUCUACCAAGACGAACUGCUUCCUUGUCUUUAGGAUCAACGAGUAGUCUUGAGAAGGGGCCUCGUCCAAGUGGACCCCCAGAUUAUGAUUAUAAUCAGCUACAGCAAUGGCCUUCCUUGUCUUCGGAGCUAGCGGAUGAUUAUACAAAGCGAAGGCAUAUUGAUCUCAAUGUUCCUGUUGAGAUUGAGGAUAUGCAGGAGCAACCGUCCACUUCAAAAUCUCAGAGUGUUGGUGCAAUCCCAUUUUGUGUAUAGUGGAUUAAUUUUAUAAAUGUGGGGGAUAAGGCUGGAGUUGUUGAGGAAAAAACUUAGAGUACACAACUCUAACAUAAGUGUUGGAGAGACAACACAAGUAAACAAAUUACUUGUAUUACACACACAAACUCUCAAAUACACUUUAGAAGCAAUGACACUCACUCACUUUCUAGAGACAAACUCUAGACCACUCACACUCCUCACAAAGACUAUUCUUACUUCUUUUUGAUUGGUUAUUUCUUGAUUGAUUCAAAUGGUGUGGAUGCCUUCUCCUUUUAUAGGCAUGGAUGGAACCUUGAAGAAGCAUGGAAACAUCAUGCUAGAGUUAUCUAGAUAAUUCUACUAACUUCCCAAGCUAGAAUUAUCUACACUAAUCUUGCAUGUUGGUGGAAACCUCACCAUUCUUCUAGAAUCUUCCACCAACUUAAGGAACAACCUUCUUUGCUAGAGUUUUCUAGCAUAUUCCCAUUAUAGAAUCUUCUAGAGAAAACCAUGCAUGUUUGAACUAGACCAAUCUAGUUCCUUUGUACCGAUUGAUCUUAAUGGGCUGGUGUUGAUCUUUAACAGGAGCUCCAUCAUGUUUAUCUGUUUUUGAACUUGGAGCGACUGUGAUUUUGUGGUGUCUCUUUCAAUCUCAUGGGGAGACAUGUGCUUGCAUAGUUUACGUUCUGUUCUGUGAUUUGUUUUUCCGGUACAGAAUCUGUGUGCAUACCAAUUAUAUGAGCAAUCUGGGAUGUGUAAGAAUGGUCCUGCUAAGGCUUCAAGAGUUGCAGGAUCCACCUAAUCCGUAACCAAGACGAAUUGGUUUCCUUGCCUUUGGGAUCAGCCAGUAAUGUUGGAAAGAGACCUCGUUUGCCUUAAACCUCGGAUAUCGUCCAUCGUGAUCGUCAAGAGCGAUGUCUUCCCUUGUACUCGGAGCCAGCGGAUCAUCCAAACUGGAGGCAUAUUGAUAAAGAAGUGACUUCUAUACUCACAUUUUCUGAUUAAACUCUCGCCCCUCAUUUUUCUGAUCUUCAGAUUGAAUAAACCAACAACAACAACAAAGCCUUUUCCCACUAAGUGGGGUCGGCUAUAUGAAUCCUAGAACGCCAUUGCGCUCGGUUUUGUGUUAUGUCCUCCGUUAGAUCCAAGUACUCAAGUCUUUUCUUAGGGUCUCUUCCAAAGUUUUCCUAGGUCUUCCUCUACCCCUUCGGCCCUGAACCUCUGUCCCGUAGUCACAUUUUCGAACCGGAACGUCAGUAGGCCUUCUUUGCACAUGUCCAAACCACCGGAACCGAUUUUCUCUCAUAUUUCCUUCAAUUUUGGCUACUCCUACUUUACCUCGGAUAUCCUCAUUCCCAAUCUUAUCCUUUCUCGUGUGCCCAUACAUCCCACGAAGCAUCCUCAUCUCCGCUACACCCAUUUUGUGUACGUGUUGAUGCUUCACCGCCCAACAUUCUGUGCCAUACAACAUCGCUGGCCUUAUUGCCGUCCUAUAAAAUUUUCCCUUGAGCUUCAGUGGCCUACGACGAUCACACAACACGCUGGAUACACUCUUACACUUCAUCCAUCCAACUUGUAUUCUAUGGUUGAGAUAUCCAUCUAAUUCUUCGUUCUCUUGCAAGAUAGAUCCUAGGUAGCGAAAACGGUCACUUUUUGUGAUAUUCGCUAGAUUGCUCCGGUCAUUAGUGUGGAUAAGUAUAUAAAUGGAUAGAGAUAGGAAAGCAAACACAAGAUGUAUGUGGUUCAUCCAGAUUGGCUACGUCCACGGAAUAGAGGAGUUCUCAUUAAUUGUGAAGGGUUUACACAAGUACAUAGGUUCAAGCUCUCUUUUAGGGAGUACAAGUGAAUGAUUUAGUACAAAUGACAUUAGGAAAUAUUGUGGGAGAAUGAUCUCGUAACCACGAAACUUCUAAGUACCGGAGUGUGGUAUCGUCUUGACUUUCCUUAUCUGUCUCAUAGGUAGAUGUGGCAUCUUCUCUGGAAGUACUCUUCCUCCAUCCAGGGGUGGUAUCUGUAACUGGUGGAGAUGCACAAGGUAAUGUAUCAAUGUCACUUGAAGCUUACUUGUAGUUUCAGGCUUGGUCAAGCGUGAUACAAACCAUGUAGUAGGAGUCCCCCAAGUCGCCGAGCUAGGGGAUCUGCUGAAAGAGGUAACAGACAAGGUAAGCAAUCAGAGCUCCGGCUGAUUGUUCACAUUCUCCCUAUCUUGCAGGCAGCAUGAAGGAUAAAGAGAAGAAAAAUGAGAAGAGAUGAUAUGGGAUACUUUUGCUUUUGAAGAAGUAACUUUCCACAGGCUUAUUCUUGAACUGGGCUGGAGGGUUUUCUGGUUUCCUUCAGAGUAUAAGGCCGACUGAAGAAUUUGAGGGUCAAAACAAGUCCAUCAAAUCUAGAGUACGUUCGACCCUGCUGAUAUGGGAUACUUUUGCUUUUGACAGAGUAGUGGAUGUAUCGGCACGUGUGCUGUUACGCUUGUCUCCAUAUGCUUCCUUGUAUCCUUCUCACUUGCCCUAUCUGUUCCUUAGGCAGAUGCGGUAUCUUCCCUGGAAGCAUAAGAUGUUGAAGAUGAGUACUCGAGAGCAAUGCCAGGUAAGUAAUCAGGUAAGGGGUUCCAGGCAGUUAGUUCCUGGCUGGAAGCUUGAUUCCAAGUGCUGACUGAUUGCUCUCUUUCUCCUUGUCUUGCAGGUAAGAACAAGGCCAAAGGAAAAGACAGGGAAAAAGCAUGAUAUGGGAUACUCUUGCUUUUAACCCUGAUGAUAUGAGAUAUUCUUGCUCUAGUAUAGCUUGUUUACAGAGGUAUUAUCGGGGGGAAAGAAAGCUGAAUAUUUCGAAAAGCUUCGUUGGGAGUGCCCUCUCAGAUAAGAGGAAUGGUUGAGCAUUUUUGCAGGUCUGCCUGUCCGUUGGGGAUGGAGGUCGACAUAUAUAGGAGUCUCCCUAACAUCAAGUAAUAAUGCUAUUCCUUUACCCUGCUUGGUCAUAGCACGGUAGUGGGAGCUGUCAGCUUCACAAGUUUUAACUCUGUCAGAGCACUUUGAAAAAGUGGUCUGUGGUAUCUGGAAAGCUGAUGUUGCGUGUGAAGAUUACAGACAAGAUUUAUCCAAGGAGAUCCAGCUCUUGAAGUUGGGAAAGUGGUGCCUCUUCGGUUUUCGAACAAGCAAUCCUGUCGGGGAUCUGGCUCUCGAGAUUCGGAGAACGAUGCCUCUUCGAUUUUUGAGAAAGCAAUCCUGCUGGGGGUCUGGCUCUCGAGAUUCGGAGAACGGUGUCUUCGAUUUUUGAGAAAGUAAUCAUGUUGGGAGUCUGGCUCUCGAGAUUCAGAGGGCGGUGCCUCUUCGAUUUUGGAGCAAGCAAUCUUGUUGGGAGUGUUUUCUCGAAUGUGAGUAAAGGUUGGGCAUGUUUGCUAGUCUACCUUGCCACGAAGCACAGAAGUUGACACACAGGGACUUUCCAAUUAUCCAGCAGUGGUACUGUUCAUUUACCCUCUCUUCGAUUUUUUAGAAAGUAAUCAUGUUAGGAGUCUGGCUCUCGAGAUUCGGAGGGCGGUGCCUCUUCUAUUUUGGAGCAAGCAAUCUUGUUGGGGGUGUUUUCUCGAAUGUGAGUAAAGGUUGGGCAUGUUUACUAGUCUACCUUGCCACGAAGCACAGAGGUUGACACACAGGGACUUUCCAAUUAUCCAGCAGUGGUACUGUUCAUUUACCCUCUCUUCGAUUUUUGAGAAAGUAAUCAUGUUGGGAGUCUAGCUCUCGAGAUUCGGAGGGCGAUGCCUCUUCGAUUUUGGGGCAAGAAAUCUUGUUGGAUUGUUUUCUCGAAUGUGAGUAAAGGUUGGGUAUGUUUGCUAGUCUACCUUGCCACGAAGCACAGAGGUUGACACACCGAGACUUUCCAAUUAUCCAGCAGUGGUACUGUUCCUUUACCCUUGUGGGUAAUAAUAUGGUAGCUAGGCCUUCAAAAUUUAUGUGUCUAAACUUUGUUAGUGUUGUUUCUUUGCUAUUCUUUUACCCUUCUUGGUCAGAUCGAUGUAGUGAGAGCUACAAGCUUCACGUGUCUCAACUUUGUUAGAGAACUUUGGCAAAGUUAUAUGUGGUACCUAUGAGCUACUGUUGCGUGUGGGAAGUGGGUGAUUGAACAGUACGAUUCAUGUGCUUUCUACUUCGCCAGAAAUCUUCGACCUAAUGCCCAUAAUUUCCGAAAAGUUGAGUGUGCGUGUGACAGGUGUUGAGAAGGCUGGAAAAGUAGUCUCAACUUUGUCAGAGAACUUUGGCAAAGUUAUAUGUGGUACCCAUGAGCUACUGUUGCGUGUGGGAAGUGGGUGAUUGAACCGUACGAUUCAUGUGCUUUCUACUUCGCCAGAAAUCUUCGACAGAAUGUUCAAAGCUGAGUGUGCGUGUGACAGGUGCUGACAAGGCUGGAAAAGUAGGUGCCUCGAUUUCUGAGAUCGGCCCUCGUGGUCUCUGAGCAGCCCAGCUUUUGAGAAAGCAAACCUCUUCGAUUUCUGAGAUCGGCCCUCGUGGUCUCUGAGCAACCCAGCUUUUGAGAAAGCAAACCUCUUCGAUUUCUGAGAUCGGCCUUCGUGGUCUUUGAGCAGCCCAGCUUUUGAGAAAGCAAACGCCUCUUCGGUUUCUGAGAUCGACCCUCGUGGUCUCUGAGCAGCCCAGCUUUUGAGAAAGCAAACGCCUCUUCGAUUUCUGAGCAGGCGCCUCUUCGAUUUCUGAGCAGGCGCCUCUUCGAUUUCUGAAGCUUCGUCGAGUGCAGAUUUUUAUAAGGGCUGACAUUAAGUUCCAAAGCACACUUGAAUAUCCACCAGUAGAAGCUCCAUUCUUGCACUUCUAAGAUCUUGAUUUGUCCGACCUCUUCUCUCUUCAACACCUUUGAAAAUGUCUGGCCCCUCCGACCGUCGUUUUGACUUGAACCUUGUUGAAGAGGCAGCCCCGCCUUCUCCAGACAACAUAUGGCGCCCAUCCUUCGUCUCCCCUACUGGUCCUCUUACCGUUGGGGAUUCCGUGAUGAAGAAUGAUAUGACCGCUGCGGUAGUGGCCAGGAACCUUCUCACUCCCAAAGAUAACAGACUACUUUCCAAACGGUCUGAUGAGUUGGCUGUUAAGGAUUCUCUGGCUCUUAGUGUUCAGUGUGCAGGUUCUGUGUCUAAUAUGGCCCAACGCCUAUUUGCUCGAACCCGCCAAGUUGAAUCAUUGGCGGCUGAAGUGAUGAGUCUCAAACAGGAUAUUAGAGGGCUCAAACAUGAGAAUAAACAGUUGCACCGGCUCGCACAUGACUAUGCUACAAACAUGAAGAGGAAGCUUGACCUAUGCUACAAACAUGAAGAGGAAGCUUGACCAGAUGAAGGAAUCUGAUGGUCAGGUUUUACUUGAUCAUCAGAGAUUUGUGAGUUUGUUCCAAAGGCAUUUAUUGCCUUCGUCUUCUGGGGCUGUACCGCGUAAUGAAGCUCCAAAUGAUCAACCUUUGAUGCCUCUUCCUUCUAGGGUUAUGUCCAGUACUGAGGCUCCGAAUGAUCCCCCUCCGGUGCUUUAUCUUUCUGGGGCUCUACCGACUGCUGAGACUUCUCCUAAGCAACCUUUGUGAAGGCUCCAUCUUGUUUGUUUAUUUUGACUCAAGUAUAUGUACAUAUUUGUAACUUAUCGGGGAUAUCAAUAAAUAAGCUUUCCUUCAUUUCAACGUAUUGUGUUAAAUCACCAAAGUCUUCUUCGCUAAGUUCUUUGAAUUUUCUUUUGUUGAAGCUUGUAUGUUGAAGCUUUGUGAGUGGAGCAUGUAGGUUGAGGUAGUGUUCCCUUAAUUUCCCGAGCGAGGACAACUUCUCGGUUGGAGUCUUGGAAAAUCCAAGUCACUGAGUGGGAUCCGCUAUAUGAAUCUUAGAACGCCAUUGUGUUCUGUCCAGUGUCAUGUCCUCCGUUAGAUCCAAGUACUCUAAGUCUUUUCUUAGGGUCUCUCUCAAAGUUUUCCUAGGUCUUCCUCUACCCCUUCGGCCCUGAACCUCUGUCCCAUAGUCGCAUCUUCUAAUCGGAGCGUCAGUAGGCCUUCUUUGCACAUGUCCAAACCACCGUAACCGAUUUUCUCUCAUCUUUCCUUCAAUUUCGGCUACUCCUACUUUACCCCGGAUAUCCUCAUUUCUAAUCUUAUCCUUUCUCGUGUGCCCACACAUCCAACGAAGCAUCCUCAUCUCCGCUACACCCAUUUUGUGUACGUGUUGAUGCUUCACCACCCAACAUUCUGUGUCAAUGGAGAAAAAAAAAACAAAACGAGGGUGGUUGCUUUAUGAGAGGCGCACGAGCAACCACUCACUUCCAUUCGCAACGCGAUUCACUACUGUAGAAAUAUUCAUCUCUGAAUAAUUUCUUACUAGCCAUGUGUGUGGACUUCAUUAAUUAAUGUUUGAGUUCCUUUGUAUUAUUAGUUCUGCAUAAGGAAUUGAACAAUACUUAAUUAGACUCCAAAAUGCUGAAGAAAUUCGUCUUCAAAACACUUUAUGACUUAUUAUAGAAUUUCGUGCUUAUAAUUUAAAUAAUUUAUAUUAUAAAUCAAAAAUUACUAACACGUGUGAUCUAGUAAUUCAUGAUAUGAUAAGUACUUGUUAGUGUUUACAAGCAGCAUCCAAUUGUUUAAAGAAUUUUUUUUCUUGAAGAUAAGUGCGUGAUUGAUUAAAUAUUAAAUUUUGAGUGUGCGGAUAAACUUUUGUUGGUGCAUAUACAAUCACCCUAUCCUUACCAAGGUAUGUUUUCACGUAAUCCUUCUUGUUUAUUAUUAUUAUUUUUAAAUUAUCAUUAUUAAAGAGAGAGGAAAGAUUUUAAAAUUAUUACAAUAAAUUAGAAGAGAUGAGAGUUUCAAAUCCGAAACGCAUGGAUGAAAACCUAACACCUGAUUCAUUAAAAUAUUAGAUCAUAUGCAAAAAAAAAAUUAAUUAUUUAUAUAAAAGUUUACAUUGAAAAAAAAAAUCCUAUCCUGAUUUGUCAAUUGAAUGAAAGCCAAUAUUGCUCAUCCGAUUGAAUGCCUAAAAGGACUAACAAUUAGUUAUUAGUACCAAUUAAAGAGUAGGUAACAUUUUGGAGAAAUUCUUUAAGUACUUGUCACACCGUUACUAACAAACUCUUGUAAAGAAAACUAACUGUUAUAUUUUAAAUUAAAAUAUUAAUUAUAUCGCUCACAUCAUAUUAUGACAAGUAAAUUAGUACUAACCACGGUUCCAUGACAAACAAAAAUGGCAACAAUGGGAACAAUAUCCAGGUUUUAACGAAAAAUAUGGGAAUUUUAACGAAAAGUUCGCGGUACUGUUCACUUUAACGAAAAAUCACAUUUUUACACUAAAAAGUCAAACCUGGUACCAUUUUGUUUGGGCCCAAAAUAACAGUUUGGGCCGAAUGUAGGGUCAUUCUCGGCCCUGGAGGCCUUGCGGCAAGAAUAUCACGGAUCGUUCAGUAUGUGGGCCUCCAAACCCAGGUCGGCUAGGUCAUAACGCAAGAGGUCGAAUCCUAGUGCAAUAGGGACUCUCGACGAGAUCAAUAACCUAGAAAGCGAAUCCGGCUCAGUUAAGGACUAGAUUCGUAGUCCUAGCGGAGAUAGGACUGAUCGAGGGGAUGUUAAUCCGGAGAAGGAGACCUAGUCCGAAUAGGAUUGGAACUCGGGCUCGAUGUGCUGCUACUAUAAAUACAAGCCAUUCAGCAACUGUGGAAGCCCCCACAAAAUCAAUACAAAAUUGCCCUGCGCAAACUCUCACAACUUGUGAUUUUUCUUUUUCCUUUUUCGCUGACACAUCUUCCGUUGGCAUCAACAGCACUGUGGAAGCAACCGGUGAUAUCUUAAGUCGGCAUAGAUAGCUCUGUCACCGUAGAGUCAGUCGGUCUCGCAGUAUCUUCCGUUGGCAUCAACAGCACUGCGGCGAGAACGAUUGAUUACCUAUCCAAGUCUCGGUCGAGAAGGGUUUCUAAAUCCUUAUUGGUCGAGGUCAUCUCAUCAGCCUUCUCGGCGAAGUGAGGUGUUACAGUUAUUACAUUCGGCACAUUGAAAGCCGAAUUUGAUAUUGAACUUCGUAAGAAUAGUAACCUUGUCUUCAGGUUCGAGAGCCCAAGAGGCCGAGACGUGUUCCUUUCUCGGCCGCAAUCGCAAGACGCAGAAGUCAGUAGCGCGACCUAACGCAACAUCAACAAAUUUACUCCUCGGCCGAGCUCGGCCGACGAGUUGGCACGCCCCGCAUUCACCGAAGGACGUAGUUAGCUCAUUAAUUACUCGGCUUGCGCGCCACGUAGGCUUUGUAGUUUCUAGGGUCAACAUUUUGGCACGUCCAGUGGGACCCAGUGCUAAAUUACGAAGUUCAUGCCAAUUGAAACACGAUUGGUAAAAAAGAAAACAAUUAUGGGAAAGUCGACAACCGAUUUACCGAAUCAAAGCCUGGGACAAAGUGUGCCGCAGGCGCAGAAUCCCCUUAGCGCUGUGACACCUGAGUCCACGACCGCGACUCGCCGAGAGAGAGAAGUUAAUCUCAGCGGUCAACUCCGUGGUUUAGAAAUCCCUAACAGAAACACAUGCGUUCUCAAUGAAGGGAUAGUAUAGGAGUGUGACGAGGAUGGUGGUGAAGGAUCUGACCCACCAACGAGGUCGUUUCUCCGAAAGCGACUAGACGAGCAGUCUCGGUCAGUCGAGCAGACGUUCAGUUGAGGCAUUGACAAGCUGCAUGACGCGAUACUCAGUUCUAAUGAUCGACAAACCAGGCUGCUCGAAAUGCUGGUUAGUCAAGUUGGUGGCAGCAGGCCUUUCGAUCUUCGCCAACAUUGUUUACCAGGAAACAACCCGGUACCGAUUGUACCGGCCGAGCCUAUUCCUGCCCCGCUCAAACCAAUUAAUUUGGAGAAAUGAGGAGGGUCGAAUAGUAGGUCAGACGGGACCGACCAGAGGGUCGAAGCAACACCUGUUGAUAUGACCGAAGUUCAGUGGAUGAUCGACUCGGCCAUGAAGAAAGGGCCGAAGUUUCCCAAGUUUAUUCAUCCGUACCCAGCUUAUGUGGAAACGUUUGGAUACCCGAAGGGUUUCAAGAUCCCAGAUUUUAGUCUUUUUGUCGGUGAAUCGUCCCUGUCUUCGUUGGAGCACGUGGCUCGUUUCACCGCGCAAUGCGGAGAUGUUAAUAGUGAUUUCCACAAGUUACGGCUGUUCAAUUUUUCAUUGACCGGCUCGGCAUUUGCCUGGUACAUCAAUCUCCCGCCUAAUUCCAUCCAAAACUGGGAGGAGUUGGUCGAGAAGUUCCACGAGCAGUUUUAUCGGCCGGGGAUGAAGAUGUCAGUCUCUUCAUUAGCACGGAUGGCUCAAGCAUCUGAUGAGUCACCAAUGGAUUAUCUUACCAGGUUCAAAUCGGCUAGGAAUUGGUGCCGAGUGCCUUUACCCGAAGUCGAAUUUGUCAGGCUUGCUUUGAACGGCCUUGAUGUCGAAUACAAAAAGAAAUUCUUGGGGGCAAAUUUUCGGGAUAUGUACGAAUUGGCCCAACAUGUCGAGCAGAAUGAUUAUUUGCUCCGCGAGGAAAAGACUUCGAAGACUCCAACUCGGGGAACGAUUUACAAGAAUCCUACUCUCAAUUAUGCAUCAACCGAGGAUGAAUGUGUUAGUGUGGAUGCGGCUGAGAUAGUAAUAGAUAAGCCAUAUAUUUGCAAGGCAUUGACUCAGGUUGAUUCUAGAGAAGCCAAAAGUCGCUCGACCACUGAAGGAACAUCGAAACCGUCAAAGGUUUAUACUUUUGAUAUUACCAAGGCUGACGCAAUUUUUGACCAACUGUUAUCAGCAAGAAUCAUUAAGCUUCGGCCCGGUCAUAACAUUCCUAAGGCCGAAGAGCUUAAAGGAAAUGUAUUGCAAGUACCACAAUUCGAGCCAACACACGACAAACAAUUGCGUCGUAUUUCGCGAUAACGUCCAAAGCUGGAUUGAUAAUGGCAAACUGAAGUUUCCCGAGAAGAGGAUGAGUGUUGAUACUGAUCCAUUCCCCCACGGCAACAGUAAACAUGGUCGACGCGUACCUACCCAAGGACAAAGGGAAAGGCAAGGCUGAAGUGGUUGAGACACAACGCCCGCGGAAUCAGAAUGUUCGGCCACAGUUCAUGGCCGAUUUUCGUUCAAAUAAACCACCUACGGUUUUAACGGGGCCCGCUAUUGUCAAACCUAUGAUGGAUUAUAGCACCGAUGAAGAUAGUGGGACGGCGGUUUUGUGCAGGAAAUGUAGAGCGAAGGUCGACAGUGAACCAGAGGAGAAGCCUUCUUCGCGACCCGUGGCCUUAACUCGGCAAAAGAUAGCCAAUGAAGGCCAACAUCAUGGGGUUUUUGGGAGGCUCGGUCCUAAAGUACGGAUGGAAGAGACACCCCCGGUCAGGCGGCGCCUCGAUUUUGAUGCUUCAUUUUAUGACGAUGAUUACUAUAAGCGUAAUUCUAGCAGUUCAGGAUCAUCGCGGAGUCAAAAGACCUUCAAGCCUCCCGAGCCUAGAGAUCAACGUUGGUAUACAUACCAUUCUUCGAAGGGCGUUUACACCGCGUUGUCCAAAUCUCAGAAACGCCGGCAUCAACGGAUAGAUUGCAUGGCUCGCCGACAAGCAGCCCAAGAAACUUCGGCCCCUAAGUGGCGGCCGAAGGAUACAGUUGCCACUGAUGAGGAGCGACCACCUCGAGCAAUUAUGACAGAGUUGGCUCAGGGGAAACGGCUGAUCGAUCAAGAUGUCGAGACCAUGUUUGAAGAAGCUGAUAAACGGAUCAAACUUCUCAUUUGACCAGGGGAAAUGAAGGCACGUCUUGAACAUUUCAGGCAAGAGGCCGAAAGCAAAUUAUCCCCGCUAGCUAUACAAGAGCCUUUGGUCAAAAUUCGACGGAAUUUGCAUCCCCCGUUCCUUGGGGAGUCUUUAGAGUAUAUGCGAGAAUUUCAUAAGAAUCAUUCGGCCAACGAUCUGUAUGGUUUGCCGAAUGCAUGCCAGGACACCAUUGAUCUGAUACUGACUUGUCUGGAUGCCGAGCGGAUCAUCCAGAAGACCUCAGAUCCAGGAUUGAAAGCAAGGUUCCAGCACAUACGAGAAGCUCGUGUCUUUGGAUUUGAAGUCGACCCGUACAUCGAUAUCAAUGCAGCCGACCUUCCUUUCUCGCUGAAGGACCUUCAGUAUUUAAGAUAUCACUUUGAAGUAUUUUCGGCGGUUUCUCUCUUCGGCCUUACGACCGAUGAAAUCGCACGUAUUGCCCGUCUGGAUGCUUAUCUCGACACUAGGGAUGCUCGGCUACACUACCAGGAGCAGGUUCAGGUAUUGACCCCAAGUUCAUUGUCAAUCUCAACCUUACCUGAGGCGGUCACGCAGAACCAACAAGUCUUCGAAGCAGCUCCACCGAGUGACGUCAUUGAAGAAGGGACAGAAGAGUCUCGUUGUCCGACUUUGACGACAACUGAGUCCGUAGUCGCCGACCAACCGAACGAGGAGGGUCUUGGCCAAAUGGGCCCUUCAGUCCUGGAUAAUAUGGAAAUCAGUAUGGUCCAUGUGUUACCUGCCGAUUUUCAAUCAAGCACGGCUCAACCAAAUUUCCUUGAUGGAGAUGUGGUUGCCGAGGAACCCGGCCAUGUCGAUUUUGUAUCGAUUGCUGAAGGCGAGUCAACAGCAAAAGAUGAUAGUCUAAAGGCCGCUUUGGCCGAAUUGUUCCCUCGUUCAUCGUCGGCUAAGCUUCACCAUUUAAAGUCACUGUAUGUGACGGCCCACAUCGAGGGAUAUCCAGUUUCUAAAGUUUUUGUCGACUGUGGAGCUACCGUUAAUAUCAUGCCUCUGAACAUCAUGAAGGCCUUGCGCCGUUCAAAUGACGAGCUUAUUCCGUCAGGAAUCACAAUGAGUAGUUUUGUCGGUGACAAAUCCCACACCAAAGGUGUACUACCGUUGACUGUAAAUAUUGCCGGUCGCACCCAUAUGACUGCUUUUUUCGUGGUUGAUUCCAAAACCGAGUAUAAUGCAUUGCUCGGCCGAGAUUGGAUUCAUUAAACCAGUUAUAUUCCUUCAUCAUUGUACCAAGUGCUUGUUUUUUGGGACGGCAAAUCGAUCACUGUUCAUCCGGCCGAUAGCCAGCCCUUCGAAGCUAACAUGAUACAAGCACGGUAUUAUGACGAUCACGUCGGCUACAUUACUUUGCAGGGCUUCAAUGAAGAGGGACGGCCGACUCGAAUUUCCGUUCAGAAAGCUAUCGAGGUUGGUGCCGAGACUGUCCAGCAGGAUUCGGCGAGACUCGGGUUAGCUAACUUUCUCCCCGAAGCCGAUGUUUGACACCGAUCAGGAAACACGCAGGGCCGCGGUUUCAUCUACUAUGGAACGACUGCUGGCCCAUUGGUAUAGGAUAUCUAAACAACCAAAUUCGGGCAUCAACCUCGUCGAGUUCCUUGCUGAGGGAGAUAAUGGGCCUGUAUUAUCUUUUGAUAAAAUUCGAGCCGCCCCGGCCGAACUCGAAGAUCAUCGGCCCCUUGUUAAGGACCCUUUGGAAGAGAUUAAUGUUGGGACAGCCGAUGACCCAUGGCUUUUGUUUAUUAGUGCGUUACUUCCCCAACGAAUGAAAGACGAGUUUCGUACCUUGCUUAUGGAAUUCAAAGAUUGUUUUGCUUGGAGUUAUCAUGAAAUGCCCGGCUUAGAUCGUGUACUCUGGUCGAGCAUGAAUUAUGUAUUAAGCCCGGAUUUAAACCUUUCCGUCAGCCACCUCGUCGAUUCUCGACCGAAGCACAACUCCUGGGGGGCAGGCUAGGCCAAGAAAUACCGGUGCUACGACAAUUAUACCCGGCCUUGGUCAACCAGCAAAUCCUCCGGCACGACGAUGUAAUACGCACUCGAGUCAUGUCUUUACCUUCGUUGUUAGACCGACAAGAUACUGUAGAGGUCUGCACCGUCGAGGCAACACCAGAUGAUUGGAGAAAACCCAUUAUGCAGUACCUUGACAAUCCCAAUGAAAAACAUAGUCGCAAGACACGAGUUCACGCCACGAACUAUGUCACGUACCAGAACGAGUUAUAUCGAAAAGGGGAGGAUGGAUUACUACUGCUAUGCCUCGGCCUUCAAGAAGGUGCUCGGGUGAUCUCGGAAGUUCAUGAAGGGGUUUGCGGAGCUCAUCAAUCCGGACGGAAAAUGCGAUGGUUACUUCGACGGCACGGCUAUUUUUGGCCAAAGAUACUAAAGGAUUGUAUCGAGUUUGCACGAGGAUGCGUACAGUGCCAAAUCCACGGGCCAAUACAAAGGGUCCCGGCUGAAUCGUUACAUUCGGUCAUUAAACCAUGGCCAUUUAGAGGAUGGGCCAUGGACGUAAUCGGUAAAAUCACGCCGACUUCUGGAGCUGCUAAGCAUGCAUGGAUAAUAGUCGCAACUGAUUACUUUACUAAGUGGGUCGAAGCAAAAUCAUACGCCGAGUUAACAUCUAAAGAGGUUUGCGACUUCGUGGAGGAACACAUUGUGACCCGGUUCGGUGUACCGGAAACGAUCAUAACCGACAAUGGAACAAUCUUCACAGCCGAAAGGUUUAAAGAAUACACGGCAAAUUUGAAAAUUCGGUUGGAACAGUCCACACCGUAUUAUCCACAGGCGAAUGGGCAGGCCGAGGCGAGUAAUAAAGUGUUGAUCGGCAUCCUCGAAUAAAUAAUAAAAGAAAGGCCUGGCAUGUGGCAUUUGAAGUUGAACGAGGCAUUAUGGGCAUACCGAACGUCGCCCCGGUCGGCGACCGCGACAACCCCAUACGCAUUAACCUACGGACACGAUGCAAUGUUACCAGUCGAGUUGAGCAUAAAUUCGUUGCGAUUAAUUGAGCAAAGUAGUUUGUUUAGCGCCGAAUAUAAUCAGUCCAUGAGACAGGAACUAGAAGAUUUGGAAGAAGCGCGGCUUGACGCUUACAACUUGUUGGUGGCACAAAAACAGAUUGCCGAGCGGGCCUAUAAUCAAAAGGUGCGACAGAAAACAUUCGGCGAGGGUGAUUUAGUGUGGCAAACGGUGUUGCCCGUAGGAAUAAAAGAUCCUAGGUUCGGCAAGUGGUCGCCGAAUUAGGAAGGGCCGUUUAUUGUGCAUAAAGUAUACGGAAAAGGGGCGUAUCAUCUUAAAGACCGAACCGGCGCGGUCCACAGAUUACCGAUUACCGAUUAAUGGGAAGUUUUUGAAGAAAUAUUAUCCGGUCACAUGGGAAAUGCGGGAAUAGUAAACCAGUCCAUUAAAAUUGAUAAGUAUUUACAAAAUGAGUAGGUCGGUUGGUUUACAUUCAGAUACAUUUAAGGAGAAGAGGGAAGAAGAGUGCUGAGCAGAGCCUUCAACUCCAACCACCGCACGUCGGCCAUGAGGACUUCGGCUUGCCGAUUCUUUUUGUCCAGCUUCAGCCGCUCGACUCAUUUUUUGGCUGCCGCAUACUCGGUUAGGCAAUCCUUCCCGCCUGACUCGAAGUCCCUAGCAAGCUCGAAAGCAAUGGCCGACCGACGUUUUGCUAGUUCGGCCAUCUGACGGUCGAGCUCGGCUAACGCGUCUCCUUUUGCCCGUAAAUCGUCAAUCUUCGGACGGAGGGUGUCUUGAACGACCGUGGUGGCUUGCAGGUCUUGUUCGGCCUUUAGAGCGGUCUGGAAGAUACUAAAUGUCUCCCGAACGCGCUCCAAAGCAGAUGAUGCCCGAACAAUGGCAUCUCCGUUCAGGCGACCGUCGGCUCCAAGGUCGUUCAGACACACGCCGAGCAGAUCAAGACCAUUGCGCUCAAGUACUUGUGAUGAUGAGAGCGACAUGACUUCUCGCAGCUGGGUUAGGGCGCUGAGAUCGGCAGCUUCGGUCGUAGCGGCCGAAGGGCCAGACUCGGCAGUGGUACUGGAGAGGAGGGCUUUGAAUUCGACCUCCCAGGAAGCCUACACAUACAAAUCAGGUUAAGUUUAAAAGAAGUCAUGACAAGAGUAGCAAGAAGGUUUCGUUUUUUUUAACCUGCCGAGAGGAGACCUCGGCCAUGUCUCCAGGAUCGUUAGUCGAACCUAAAGAACUCAAUGGCCGAGCCCAGUGUUUCAGGUUGCUUCUCAAUUCACGCGGCCGAUGGAGGUUAUCUAUGUUUGACGGCCACUGAGGCGGCCACGAAAUAUAGAUAACGCCCUUCGGCGCGUAGAAUUCUCGGUGAAAAGAAUGUACAGGCACCUGACAUUUAUUAUUUUCCUCGUUUAGAAUUCUAAAGAAAAAAAGCAAUCAAGGAAAGAUGGUCGAAGGGACUUACGAAGGCCGAGGUAACCUCCUGUGGAGGAAUAUGGAAGCCCUGGUCUUGAGGAUGAACGGGCGAUUCCGCCGUCGCCUCGGGUUCCUCGAGCGGGCGUUUGCCACGGUCGGCUGCAGAUGGGCCGACCGGAACAGCCGUUUCGGAGGAGGCAGGGACAUCCUGAUCCUGGGGAGGAGCGAGGAGUUCGGCCACCGCCGUUGGCUCCUCGACUGGGCGCUUGCUACGAUCAGCCGUGGAGGGGCCGGCUUGAACCACCAUCUCUGACCUUGGGGAAGGUUACCGACGGGAGUGAGGGCGAUUUGCCAGCGGGACCUCGUCGCUCCCCUCACUCUCUUCCAGGAUGAAGACCGAGGGUUUUGGAUUUUCAGGGGCUGCUCCCUUGGUCGCAGAAACCACCUUUUUUGGAAUGGGUGCCUCCUCGACGGAGGGAGGCACAACUGGUGUAUCAGCCCCAGAAACAGGUCGCGGUCGAACUGUCUCUGCGACCGGGGCGGGCUGUUUUUUGACCAAGGGUUGAACAACGGCAGGAGAAGGGGAAACACUGGGAGUUGUCGCCCCUGUAGUUUGACUGGAGAUGACAUGGAUCUCCCGUGCGCCUUUCUUUGCCAGUUGUUUUACCCGCUUGGCAGGUGGCGGAGGUUCGACGGUCGGCUCGGCCUCUUGGCGAGGUCGUUUGGUUGGCACGGCCCGAACAACAGCUUCCGUUUUUCUCGAAGGCCGAUUACCUGAGAAGAUAAGAAUAAUUCAGUAAGGCAAAUCGAUAUGCAAGGUUGGAAGGAACCGGUGAUAAAUGAAAAAUUACCUUGAGUUUGGGGAGCCGAGGCCUUCUUCGGACGGUCACCGAAGAGUUUGUUUAGCACCUCUUCGACCGGAGCACCAAAGAACUCCCGGAUGUAAUUUUCCCACCACUCACCGAAGAUGUCGGUGCAAUGGGUUUCUGGGGUGGCUGGUCGAAGGCGGAAUUUUUGGCAGCGCUCUUGGAACUCCCUCACGGCAGUAUUACAUUCCGUCUCCGAGGAACAAGGCUCACGUCCACGGCUUAGGAUUGUUCGCGAGGAGAGAAGGGGGACGGGGCAGCCCUGAAGGUAGCCGAGUUGUCGGGCAAGGAAGUUCGGAUGAUAUACUUCCCAACCCAACCGUUUCCCAUCACAGCCGAGAGGGAGGUCGCGAGCAAGCACAAACGACCCCCAGGUCUGACGAAGAUCGGCGUCUUCCUCCGAGCUCCAUGUAGAGGUAGGCAGCCUGAUGGAGGAAGGAUAGUCUCGACGACGACAUAUCAGGAACUCGUCGUUCGGAAAGUAUGCUGGUAGAGCAGGAUUUAUCGACUUCUUGCUCGGUUUAGGGCAGAGUAUGUUCCAAUUCAUACAGUAUCUGAGAUGUUUUGAAUUCAUCUGCUAUGGUGAAUAUGUUGGUCAAGGCAAUUUUAAGUUUGAAAUAAUGCAUGAGCUGGCGUUUUCGUAUUCGUUUUUGUUUAGCUAUGUUAAUGUUUGAGCAUCUCUUGUGUACUUUUGGGUACUUUGGAUGUCAGGUUUUUUCUCACUUUAUUUUAAUUUGUCAAGGGUACCUAAGUCUUGGAUAUUCGACACCGUUCCUUUCGUUGGGUGCAUCUUAUAUGUAUCCAUCCUUGGCUGCUGCCAAGGCAGCUGUAAUUUCUGUGGGUGAAGAGAUAGCAACUCUCGGACUGCCGUCAGGGAUCUGUCCUCUUGUCUUCGUUUUCACCAGUUCAGGAAAUGGUACAUUGCUUGUUCUUACUAAGCUUAAAUGUCUUUAACAUCUAAUAGCAAAAUAUAUCUUAUGUAAUUUUAUUUCCUGUAGUUUCUUCUGGUGCACAAGAGAUAUUUAAGCUUCUUCCUCAUACUUUUGUGGAACCAAGCGAACUUCCGGCGCUAUUUGGGUCGGUAAGUAGUAAAACUAGUACAGUACAUGUGGUUCCAACUUGGUCUUGUAUGAUAACAAUAAUAGAAGGAAAAAUGCACUUCUAAUUUGGUUCUUGUCGACUAGAGAGACAUAAAGUUUAGGUGGAAACAGCUCUGUACAAAUAGAUGUCACCCUUCUUUGUGUUAGGUUUUCAAUUUUUUUACUGAUAGGCCAAGGAUGCUGCUCAAACUACUCGAAAGUCGAAAAGGAUCUUCCAAGUAUACGGUUGUGUUGUGACUAGUAAAAACAUGGUUGAACACGAAGAUCCAACAAGAGAAUUUGACAAAGUAAGCCCUGAUCUCAUAGUCAUCUUUUAAUUCUUCAUUCCUCACUUCUUGUUUUUCGCCAUCGUAUAACAGAAUAUACGAACUCAAAACGUCUGCAUUUUUCAGGCACUCUGGAUUAAUUUUUCAGGAACUCAAAACUCAGAAUUUGACAAAAUAACCGAUUGCACAUCAUUGGAAAACAAUUUGUUGAAUCAGGUUCCUAACUCUCUUCUUAAUUUCUCUUGAAAUUAAUUUGUUGAUACUUGAGACAUCAGAUCACAGACUGUUAGUAAUUAGUUAUCUAAACAUUAUUUAAUUUUGUAGGAAUCUCUUUGGCGCUUUGGAUUGGAAAUUAUUCUUCCAGGCACUAAAGUUCCCAAGUGGUUCAGCUAUACCUCUAAACAUCCAACAACAUUUGAACUUCCAUCAGAAAAUGAAGGUGAAGAAGCUGUUAGAGGCAGUGAAUGUUGUUUUGAAAUUCCUCUAAACUUACAAGAUGAGACUUCCGGAUUGGCUCUAUGUAUUGUUGUUGAAGCAUCGACUCCUUAUGAUCCUUAUGUUCUCAUCAACGGGGAAAAAGACUUUUAUCCUAAUUUGAAGUACAACAUUGAGGCAACUUAUGUGUGGUUCAAGUUAGUGGAUUUAGACGAGCAGCAGAGAGAUACAUGUCAAGUCAUAUUUCAAUUCCUGGAAGGCUCACACAUUAAAAGUUGGAGGGUGCACGGUCUAUUGCUCAACCAAGACGAACUGCUUCCCUUGUCAUUAGGAUCAACGAGUAGUCUUGAGAAGAAGCCUCUGUAAGUUGUGAGUGUCAAAGAACUUGUGCUCACUGUUUCUUGACAUACAGUAACUUGGUCAAUCUGAGUUAAUGGUUAAGAAAAUUAUGGAGCCUUAUUUGGUUAGGUUUAGGAGUCCUUAUUUAGUGCAAUUAAUUAUGAAAACCUUAUUUAGUUGAGAAAGAGUUCGUUACCAUUUAGGACUAUAAUGAAAUCCUAAUUGAUUUGGAAUAUCCCUUUAAUCAGUUAAUAGGCCGGAUCAAAGGGAUGAGCGUCUAUAUAUUAGGAGGUCCCUACACUCACAGCAUCAUUUUAUUCUAGUGCAAAACCCUAUUUUUGUGCACAAGGACUCUCAGCUGCUAUAGUGUAGAAGUUCCUCCUUGAAACCCUAGCAGUCAUGGCUUCUUCUUCUUCCUCCACUUCGGAAGAUAAGUUUAUUUCCCUUUUAAUUGUUUGAUUGGUUUAUUGUAAUUAUUUUGGUUUUAUAUGUGAUCCUAGUAACUUGUUGAUUUUCAGAUUACAUCUUACAACCUCGUCCAAGUGGACCCCCAGAUUAUAAGUAUGAUCAGCUACAGCAAUGGCCUUCCUUGUUUUCGGAGCUAGCGGAUGAUCAUAUAAAAUGGAGGCAUAUUGAUCUCAAUGUUCCUGUUAAGAUUGAGGAUGAGCAGGAGCAACCGUCCACUUCAAAAUCUCAGAGUGUCACUACUAGAAAUUAUAAUUUUGCCGACAAAUUAUAAGCUGACAAAGCAACAUUUUGUUGGCACAAGAGUCCUUUCUCGAUGAAAAUUUUAAUUUGUCGGUUGAAUACUCACGCUAGAACCAAUUUACAAUGUCAAUCUUAGCCGAGAAAAUUGAAACGUUAGUCAACGAUCAUUUUGUAGGCGUAAAUUCGAUGCCCUGACAAAUUUUGUUUUGACGAGUAAACUUUGACGGGAACUUUUCCUUCUGUAUUGAAAUAUUAGCCGAUGAUGUGAGGCAACAAAGUAUUUCAUCGGCAAAUUGAUUAGAGAGGCAAUAAAGUACGUCAUCGGCAAGGUAACAAUAACUCUAUGUGAGAGGUUUUCACCAGUGCACCUUUCCAAUUUUUUCUGUGGAACGCAAUCAAAGCUCUUGGCGACUAUUUAUGCUCUCAUUCUCAUUCUUGUUUCUCUAUAUGAAGGGGAGCAUAGAUAAAGAGAUAUCUAGCAUUUCAUAUUUCUGGAUUGUAGUUUAAUGCCAUCAAUAAUCUAUAUUGACAAUUUGAUUUCAUAAUAUGUGAGUGUUUGAAAAAGUUCUUCCUAUCAAUUCUAACUCCAAACUACUUUCUAGCAACAGAUAACUUGGUUUAGGUUAUGAUCAAUUAUUAGUCAAUUAGUCAAUGUAUAAAAUUACUAACAUGUGUCAUCUAGUAAUUCAUGAUAUGAUAAGUACUUGUUAGUGUUUACAAGCAGUAUCCAAUUGUUUAAAGAUUUUUUUUUUUCUUGAAGAUAAGUGCGUUAUUGAUUAAAUAUUAAACUUUGAGUGUGCGGAUAAACUUUUGUUGGUGCAUAUACAAUCACCCUAUCCUUACCAUGGUAUGUUUUCUUAUGUCAUCCUUCUUGUUUAUUAUUAUUAUUUUUAAAUUAUCAUUAUUAAAGAGAGAGGAAAGAUUUUAAAAUUAUUACAAUAAAUUAGAAGAUAUGAGAGUUUCAAAUCCGAGACGCAUGGGUGAAAACCUAACACCUGAUUCACUAAAAUAUUAGAUCAUAUGCAAAAAACAAAAAAAAAUAUAUUUAUUUAUAUAAAAGUUUACAUUGAAAAAAAAAAUCCUAUCCUGAUUUGUCAAUUGAAUGAAAACCAAUAUUGCUCAUCCGAUUGAAUGCCUAAAAGGACUAACAAUUAGUUAUUAGUACCAAUUAAAGUGUAGGUAACAUUUUGGAGAAAUUCUUAAAGUAAUUGUCACACUGUUACUAACAAACUCUUGUAAAGAAAAUUAACUGUUAUAUUUUACAUUAAAAUAUUAAUUAUAUCGCUCAUAUCAUAUUAUGACAAGUAAAUUAGUAACCAUGGUUCCAUGACAAACAAAAAUGGCAACAAUGGGAACAAUAUCCACGUUUGUAAUAUAUUAUCCGUCCAAUAAUGCAUGCGUGAUAACUCGAUAAUUUUGAUAAGAGGGAGAGAGCGAGUGGUCCGAGUGCGAAAAGCACUCAUAUUAUAUGAGUAAAUACGUGAUAACUUGUCCCGACCGGCAAAGAAGUGGAAGUCCGUUACGUCACCGUACCUGCGGAAACAGUCCCACGUGAUCAUGGACCUACUAGGGGUGGAAAUUUUUACCAAAUUGCCGUACCAACCGUCUUACCAACCAUACCAUAUCAAAUUAUUACCAAAACUUUGUACCAAUUGGUAAUGGUAUGGUAUUUGUACCGUACCAUAGUGUUUCAGUAAGGUACUGGUAUCCAAAACUAGUAUCGGUAGUAUAUCGUACCUACCAAUAUUAUUAAUAUUAUAUUAUGUAUUUAUUCAUAUAAUUAUUUGAGGGCAAAAUUAAUAAUAAUUAUUGUAGAAGUGUAAAAAAUGUAAAAAAAAAAAAUAUAUAUAUAUAUAUAUAUAUAUACAAUCACUCAUAGUGAUAAGCUUUACAACUUUCAUGCAAGGGUCAGCUUCAAAAUCCAACACCUAUAAUCCAUAAACCUUAAAUUUAUAUUUAACCGUCGAUUGUCAUGUACGCUUUAUUCUUCUUACUGAAUUUCAUUUUUUAAAUUUUCUUUUUUGAAAAUAUGAUUAUCUGACGGAUGUAAGAAGUUGAACGGUUCAGAUCUUUGAUAUCACGUUUCGAUAUUUACGGUUAACUGAAAUAUGAGUCAAUAUCAUACAGUUUGUAGAAACUUUAUAAACAUCAAGCAAUAUUUUCCCUAACUAUAAAACUAUGAACAUAAUAUCAACGGUCCAAUCUGUUCAUCUUUCUACAUCCUCUAAUAGAUCAUGUUUUCAAAUAAGAAAAUCCGAAGAAAACAAAAUUUGAUGAGAAAAAUGAAGCGUAAAUGUAAACAACAAUCAACAGUUAAAUUUUGAUCUAUGAUUUAUAUGAUUAUAAUGGCGAAUUUCAAAGUUAAGCUCUUCACGAAAGUUGUAAAGCUUGUAAUUACGAGUGUUUAUAUAUUUUUUCUAUAUUUUUUACACUUCUACAUUAAUUAAAAAAUAUUAGAUUUUGGGCAAACUAAGUGGCGUAAAACAAAGUGGCAAUUACCAUUGGCAUACCAUAUCAACCAAACUAUUUGGUAUACCAAGUUUGGUAUGAUAAUGGUAAUAGAUUUUGCUGUACCAAAUAUUUGGUAUGGUAAUUGGCACAAAGGUUUUGGUACGGUAAUGUACCAAAACCACCCCUAAGACCUACUGGAAGCUCCGAAGGACAAGGAUUGUCUGCCCUCCUUGUUCCCGUGCUCUCUCGUGCCCUCCUAUUUUGUGUGGUCAAGGUUAAGUCACGUCAACAUUUUAUAUUAUUUUUUUAUAAAGAUAAUAAGACAAAAAUAAAUAGUAAUAUAAAAUGUUGACGUGGCAUAACCGUAACCACACGGAUAGAAGAACACGGGAACAAGGAGGGCACACAACCCUUGUCCAGCUCGGAAACCCAUGUACUGUAAAGUGUUGAUCAUCAGCAUGGCUGAGUCACGACUCGGUCGCUGACUCACGUGAAUUAUCACAUGCAUGCGAUUAGAAAUAAAAGCACCAACUUCUCGAAAGAUUGUUCAGUGUGACCGAUUAUGGGAUAUGUGCUAAAAAGUUAAUAAUUUAAAAAAUAAAAUUUCUCACCAUUUUUAUUAAAACGUGAUGUACAAAUUUCCCCAACUUCUCAUAUCAAUAUCAUCCACCUAGCUGCAUGUGCUCACUUGUCACUUUCUCUCUCUUCAUUUUCUUUCUCAAACUUUCAUACCUAAUACCUACACCAACAAAACGAUCACACAAAAAUUCAACAAGUUACACGUUUUUUGUCAGGUAAAAAUGCGUUUCUGAUCGCUAUGUUUCGUCUCGAUUUUGAUUUUGAUCACUGUGUUUUUUUGUUUUCGUCGAUUUGGUCAUUGCCUUUGGCUUGUUUGAAAAUUUUCCAGUUUCCAGAGUUGAAUUGUUGAAAUAAUUUGGUGUUGGUGUAGAUUUUGGUUUUGGUUUCGAUUUCGGUUUUUUAUUAAGAUUACAAUGAUUGGAAAUGGGGUGGUGGGGAUUUUGGCCGAGUCUGUGAACAAGUGGGAGAGAAGAGCGCCUCUGACGCCGCCUCACUGCGCUCGGCUGCUCCACAGCGGAAGAGAUAAAACCGGAGUUUCUCGGAUCAUACUGCAGCUCUCGACGAAGAGAAUUCAUCAUGAUGCAAUGUAUGAAGAUGUUGGAUGUGAAAUCUCUGAGGAUUUGUCACAUUGUGGUUUGAUCCUCGGCAUCAAACAGCCAAAGGUACUAAUUUUUCGUUCGUUUUAUAUACCAUCAAGUUUGUCAAUUGAUUUGCAUACGUAAACAGAAUAGUUUAGAAUAUCGCCUUGUAAAGAGAAAGUUUGUCGAUUGAUCACAAAUUUUGAUACAAUUGUUUGGAUUUGGUGCAGCUGGAGAUUAUUCUGCCGGAUAGAGCUUAUGCGUUUUUUUCGCAUACUCAUAAGGCUCAGAAGGAAAACAUGCCACUCUUGGAUAAGGUCUUGUUUGAUUUGCUUAGUUUACGUUCCGUUCUGUGAUUUGUUUUUCCUGUACAGAAUCUAAUGUGCAUACCAAUUUUAUGAGCAAUAUGGGAUGUGUAAGAAUGGUUCUGCUAAGGCUUCAAGAGUUGCAGGAUCCACCUAAUCCGUAACCAAGACGAAUUGGUUUCCUUGCCUUUGGGAUCAGACAGUAAUGUUGGAAAGAGACCUCGUUUGCUUUAAACCUCGGAUAUCUCGUGGUCGUCAAGAGCGAUGUCUUCCCUUGUACUCGGAGCCAGCGGAUCAUCCAAACUGGAGGCAUAUUGAUAAAGAAGUGACUUCUAUACUCACAUUUUCUGCUUAAACUCUCGUCCCUCGUUUUUCUAAUCUUCGGAUUGAAUAAACCAAUGGAGAAAAAAAACAAAACGAGGGUGGCUGCUUUAUGAGAGGCGCACGAGCAACCACUCACUUCCAUCCGCAGCGCGAUUCACUACUGUAGAAAUUUUCAUCUCUGAAUAAUUUCUUUUACUAGCCAAGUGUGUGGACUUCAUUAAUGUUUUUCCUUUUUUUUAUUAAUUAGUUCUGCAUAAGGAAUUGAGCAAUACUUAAUUAGACUCCUAAAUGGUGAAGAAAUUCGUCUUCCAUAACUUAUCUUCUGGUUACAAUUAUAUAUAGAAUUUCAACGCACUCAUUUUUAUUAUAAUUAUCAUUAUAUUUAUAUUAUCAACGUUAUAAUAAAAUCUCGUUUAUAUCUUCUAGUAAUUUUCAUAUGAUAUUGAUAAUUAAUUCUUGUUAGUGUUUAACAAAACAGUUAGUUAGUAUUAUCCAAUUGUUUAAAGAUUUUUAUUCUUGAAUAAUAGUGCGUGAUUAAUUAAUGAUUUUAUUAAACUUUGUGGUGCGGAUAAACUUUUGUUGGUGCAUAUACAAUUCGUUUACCAUAUUUGUGUUAUUAUUUGGUAAUCAUUUCUCCUUAUGUUUGUCCUUCUAAUGUUUAUUAUUAUUUUUUUAUUAUUUUUUAUAUUUUUUAUUGGAUUUUGUGAAUGAUUUCUUAAAUCUAUUAACAAUUUUGAAGUAGUUAGUGGAUGGAUGUUUCAUAUUUUUCACGAGACCGAAACGCAUUUUGGAAUUUCCUAUGAUAAAUAUUUAUUCAAUACAAUUUGAUUCCCAUUAGUAAUAAUAAAGUUUUAUAAUUGUUGUAUAAAAAAUUAAAAUUCCAUUUGAUUUAAUUAUUGAAAAAUAAUUUAAUAUUGGGAAGAAAUUUUUGAAUUGGAAAUUUUUUUACAAAACGGAAUGUAGGAUUUAAAUGAAAAAAAUGAUAAAAAUGGCUUUGCCAAAAAUAUACAUUGAUUAUUUAUAUUAAAAUUUUUUGAAAAAAAUAAAUUCCUAAUCCUUCAAAAUGUUUGUUGCCACUAGAAUUGGAAUCAAAACCCUGUGUUAUUCGCAGAAGACGGAAACAGACACGGGUAUUUGACGAAACAAUAUAUUUGCCCAAAGACAUGGUUAUUUGUCUUCGUUAAAAUUGUUUCCAAGGUGGGUGGACGUCAAAUAAAACCCAAAAUCUGUUCGUACUAGGAACACAGCCCGUUCCCACCCAUUUUGGCGCACCCACCAACGCGGGACAGAACCGCCUCGUCCGUUCCGUUGUUCCGUCCCGUCCGUCCUAUACCAAACGCACCAAAAGGACUAACAUAUAUUAAUUAUUGUUACACAUUAAAGAGAGUAGUAAACAUUUUGGAGGAAAUUCUUAAAGUAAUUGCCGUUACUAAAAAACUCUUGUAAGAAAACUAACUGUUUAUUUUUAAAUUAAAAUACAUAUCAUUAUAUUGCUGCACAUCAUAGUUAUGUUUAUUUAAAUUCAUUCCAGUAAACCAUAUUCCAUGACAAUAUACAAAAUGGACAACAAUGGGAACAAUAUCCAACAUUUAUAAUAGGGUUUAUUCACAACACUCUAAUAUUUUACUUCUCACACAUUUUGAUAUUGAUAAUUUGAUCCAUUGAUAUUUCACAUUCAAUUUCUGAUGAUAAUCGAGGUCAAAUCAAAUUAAAAAAAAUAUGUAAAUGAAUAAAAUAAAAUGUAUGAAUAUUACACCCCUUAUAAUUUUCUUAUCCAUUAUCUAAUUAUCCGAGCAACCCAUACCAUGCAUAAUUCAUGGACUUGAUCGACGAUUCCUUGACGAGAGAGAGAGAGAGAGAGUGGUCCGAGUGCGAAAAGCACUUAAAUAUGUGAUAACUUGUCCCAACCGGCAAGAGGAAAAGUCCGUUACGUCAAAUCCACCAUGCUUGGGGAAAUCCCCCACGUGAUUGGUGAUCUGGACAUGGAAGAUGGACCUGAGCUUGAAGCUCAAAACCCAUUGCCACGACUCGGAUAAAAACAGAAGAUUCUAGUUUGUCCACGUUUUCUUGUCUAUACUACAUAUAGGUUUGCGCUUGUCGUUUUUCAACUCUCCUAUAAGCCUUGGAUUGGCUUUCUCAAGAUAGGUUUGAAGUCGAUUAGUCUAGUUAAGCUAAUCCACUUCUUGAAUCACAUAAAGAGGUUUCUAGCGGUCAAAGAAAUGAGAAUUCGUAGUUUGGUUUGAAGGCGACUUGGCCGUUCAGUAUUGAUCCCUAAAAGGCCAACUUAAAGCGCAUAAACUUAUUUUUUUUCACGAUUCGGGUAUUAUCAUCAGUCAAUUGAUGUGUUUUUCGUAAGCUUUCUUCUAAGCCCAGUAACAAAACUUCUUUUCGAACUAGAAAUAUAUAAAAUAGGUGUCACAGCUGAUUAUGGGUAUGGCUGAGUCACGACUCGGUUCCUGACUCACUCACGUGAAUUAUCACAUGCAUGUGAUAGACAUAAGAGAAUUUUAACAAAAAAAAUCUGUUCAUGAUUUUUACUUUUUAUUUUUACGAAUUAAAAAUAUUUUUUACUAACUAAAAAUUAAUUCAGUUUAUUUUUUUAAUUUUAAUCUUAAAAGUUUUCAAACUUUUUUUUCAUAAGUUUUCUUAUAAAUAAAAGCACCAGCAUCCCAAACUUUCCUACCGAAUUACCUACACCAACAAAAGAUCACACAAAAUUCAAAAAUUUCAAUUCAACACAAACAUUUUCGUCUGGUAAAAAUGCGUUUCUAAUCGCUGUGUUUCGUCUCGAUUUCGAUUUUGAUCACUGUGUUUUUUUUGUUUUCGUCGAUUUGGUCAUUGCCUUUGGUUUGUUUGAAAUUUUUCCAGUUUCCAGAGAUGAAUUGUUGAAAUAAUUUGGUGUUGGUGUAGAUUCUGGUUUUGGUUUCGGUUUCGGUUUUUUAUUAAGAUUACAAUGAUUGGAAAUGGGGUGGUGGGGAUUUUGGCUGAGUCUGUGAACAAGUGGGAGAGAAGAGCGCCUCUGACGCCGUCUCACUGCGCUCGGCUGCUCCACAGCGGGAAAGAUAAAACCGGAGUUUCUCGGAUCAUACUGCAGCCCUCGACGAAGAGAAUUCAUCAUGAUGCAAUGUAUGAAGAUGUUGGAUGUGAAAUCUCUGAGGAUUUGUCACAUUGUGGUUUGAUCCUCGGCAUUAAACAGCCAAAGGUACUCAUUUUUCCGUUCGUUUUAUAUACCAUCAAGUUUGUCAAUCGAUAUGCCGACGUAAACAGAAUAGUUUAGAAUAUCGCCUUGUAAAGAGAAAGUUUGUCGAUUGAUCACAAAUUUUGAUACAAUUGUUUGGAUUUGGUGCAGCUGGAGAUGAUUCUGCCGGAUAGAGCUUAUGCGUUUUUUUCGCAUACUCAUAAGGCUCAGAAGGAAAACAUGCCACUCUUGGAUAAGGUCUUGCUUGAUUUUCGUAUGUUUUGAGCGGUUUUAAAUACUUGCUUUCUUCGUUAGCAAUUUAUAACUCUCUGUGUGGUGUCCAGAUCCUAGCAGAAAGAGUGUCUCUCUAUGAUUACGAGCUUAUUGUCGGGGAUCAUGCGAGAAGACUACUUGCAUUCGGAAAGUAUGCUGGUAGAGCAGGAUUUAUCGACUUCUUGCUCGGCUUAGGACAGAGUAUGUUCCAAUUCAUACAGUAUCUGAGAUGUUUUGAAUUCAUCUGCUAUGGUGAAUCUGUGUUGUUCAAGGCAAUUUUAGGCUUGAAAUAAUGCAUGAGCUGGCGUUUUCGUAUUCGUUUUUGUUUAGCUAUGUUAAUGUUUGAGCAUCUCUUGUGUACUUUUGGGUACUUUGGAUGUCAGGUUUUUUCUCACCUUGUUUUAAUUUGUCUUAGGGUACCUAAGUCUUGGAUAUUCGACACCGUUUCUUUCGUUGGGUGCAUCUUAUAUGUAUCCAUCCUUGGCUGCCGCUAAGGCAGCUGUAAUUUCUGUGGGCGAAGAGAUAGCAACUCGCGGACUGCCAUCAGGAAUCUGUCCUCUUGUCUUCAUUUUCACCGGUUCAGGAAAUGGUACAAUAUUGCUUGUUCUUACGAAGCUUAAAUUUCUACAACAUCUAAUAGCAAAAUAUAUCUCAUGCAAUUUUAUUUCCUGUAGUUUCUUCUGGUGCACAAGAGAUAUUUAAGCUUCUUCCUCAUACUUUUGUGGAACCAAGCGAACUUCCGGCACUAUUUGUGGCGGUAAGUAGUAAAACUAGUACGGUAUAUGUUGUUCCAACUUGAUCUUGUAAGAUAACAAUAAUAGAAGGGAAAAUGCACUUCUAAUUAGGUUCUUAUCGACUCGAGAGACAUAAAGUUUAGGUGGAAACAGCUCUGUACAAAUAGAUGUCACUCUUCUUUGUGUUAGGUUUUCAUUUUUUUUUUUACUGAUUAGGCCAAGGAUGCUGCUCAAACUACUCGAAAAUCGAAAAGGAUCUUCCAAGUAUACGGUUGUGUUGUGACUAGUAAAAACAUGGUUGAACACGAAGAUCCAACAAGAGAAUUUGACAAAGUAAGCCCUGAUCUCAUAGUCAUCUUUUAAUUCUUCAUUCCUCACGUCUUGUUUCUCGCUAUCGUAUAACAGAAUAUACUAACUCAAAACGUCUGCAAUUUUCAGGCCGACUAUUAUGCACAUCCAGAACACUACAACCCUGUUUUCCACGAAAAAAUAGCCCCGUAUGCAUCUGUAAUCGGUAUGCUUUACACUCUUCUAUCAAUUUUUUAGACAAAUCAGUAGAGUUAAUGUCAUUAAAUGAAUGCCUUGGAUUUUAACUUAAGGAUUUUCGAAACCUUUGGUUCUCAAUUAUCGUUAUCCAUUUCAUUCUCUCAUCCCAUUAGAUUUUAAAAAGACAAAAUUUACUCUUUAUGUUCUUUUCGCCUUGCAGUGAAUUGCAUGUAUUGGGAGAAACGAUUUCCUCGCUUAUUGAGUACCAAGCAGGUUCAAGAUCUAACAAAGAAAGCAAGUGUGCUUGUUGGAAUCGCUGAUAUAACUUGUGACAUAGGGGGGUCAAUAGAAUUUGUCAACCAAACCACAUCAAUUGACUCACCUUUCUUCAGGUACAAGUCAUAAACACCACCUCAAAAAGCAUUUUCUUGCUCACAAAAUAGCAUUUGCAGCUUUGAAAAUAACAGUUCUUUCGGUAACAUGGUUUGCAGAUACGAUCCUGUGACUAAUUCUUACCAUCGUGACAUGGACGGCGCUGGUGUGAUAUGUCAAGCUGUGGACAUUCUUCCGACAGAAUUUGCAAAAGAGGUGCACUACUUUCAUCCCUGCCUUCUUUUUCAAUAAAUGCAGUAAUUCUAGAAUAGUCUAAUGCCAGAGAUUAUACUUCUCGUGGUUUGAUAAAACAUUUCUUUAAUUUUGGGAAGGCUUCGAAACAUUUUGGAGACAUAUUGUCCAAUUUUGUUGGUAAUUUGGCUUCUACAAAAGACAUUACAAAGUUGCCUGCACAUUUAAGGAGAGCUUGCAUUACCCAUGGAGGAGCACUUACCUCAUUUUAUGAAUAUAUUCCGCGUAUGAGAAAGUCAGACUCAGAGUAAGUUUCGCUUUCAUUUCACAUAUAUACUUGCCCUUGUUCUUUGGUGUUAAGCAUAUAUUCUCUUUUUGAUUUGCAGAGAAAUAUCAAAGAAUCAUGUUAAUCACAACUACAAGAACUACAACAUAUCAGUAAGUUUCUCUAUUUCUAUUAACAAUUUCGGAUAUUUCUCCGCUUAUCAUGCCAUAUAUGCUGAGUUUCAUUCUAAAUCACAGGUAUCUCUCAGUGGUCACCUAUUUGAUCAGUUUCUGAUAAAUGAGGCCUUAGAUAUCAUUGAAGCUGCAGGCGGCUCCUUUCAUUUGGUUAAGUGUGACGUGGGUCAAUGUUCGAAUUCUCUAUCAUUCUCCGAACUUGAAGUAAGUAGACCUCUAGCCAGUUUGGUCAUCGGAGAGGUUCACUUUGGUAUCUUCGAGUACAAGUUAUCUUUACGUCAAAUUUCAUAGCAUGAACUCGUUGUUAUGGACAGGUGGGUGCAGAUGACACGGCCGUUCUUGAUCAAAUUAUCGACUCUUUAACUUCUCUAGCGAAUUCAAACGAAAAUCAUGACUUAAAGCAAGAGAAAAAUAAGAUUUCUCUGAGUUUUGGUGAAGUCCAGCACAGUCCCACUAAAAAGGGAAAUGACACGAAAAGAAAGGCUGGGGUUCUGAUUAUUGGAGCAGGCCGGGUCUGCCAGCCAGCUGCUGAGAUGUUAGCAUCAGUUAGCGGAAUGUCAUCCCACGAAUGGUACAAAACAUGCUUUGAAGAUGAAUUCGAAGAGAUUAAUGAUGUGCAAGUUACUGUUGCAUCUCUCUACCUAAAGGAUGCUGAAGAGGUAUGGCUGCAGAAAAUCACAUAUUUCAAAAACCUGCUUUCAAUUCUAUCAUGAUGUAUAUUUUUUCAUUCAAGAAUGAUGCGCAAACUUUUAUGUGUUCAUCUCAUUUUUUUCGCGUUUGAACAUUUUGAUGCUGAAAUUUUGGAGCAGAUCACUGAAGGUAUUCCAAAUGCAACAGCAGUUCAACUUGAUAUUUCGGACACUGGCAGUCUGCAUAGGUAUAUAUCGGAGGUAAUGACUUUUCUACAGUACGGUUUAAAGAGCAGUUUUUGAAUUUCAGAGAAAUCGCAUGCCUAGCAGCUAUAUUACAUAUGAUCAAAAUGAUUUGUUUAACUUAGAUGUGUACUAUUUUCGGUGUUCAAAACUUGCAAAGCUUCCAUCGCACUCUUAUAUUUUUGGUGUUCUUUGUUUCCCUCAUGCAGGCUGAACUUGUUAUAAGUUUACUGCCGGCUUUUUGCCACGUUACUGUAGCAAAUGCAUGUAUUGAGGUACUUCACGUUGCCUCACUGUUAUAUUUUCUUUGUUUUUCGUUCUUUACUUUUUCUGCCUUCCUUCAGCUAAGGAAAAAGGUUUUGUGUCUUCAUUCAGCUUAAAAAGCAUCUUGUCACUGCUAGCUAUGUUGAUGAAUCCAUGUCAAAACUGGAUGAGAAGGCAAAGAGUGCUGGUAUUACGAUUCUUGGUGAGAUGGGCUUGGACCCUGGGAUAGGUAAUGACUUAUGUCUGGAAGUGCUUUUAGAAUAACCAGAAACGCCUUCAAAUGAUCAAAAAGAACAAUUGAAACUAGUCCUUGUGAUGGCAAAAACUUUGGCAUAUUAGUAAUGCAACUACUAUUUUGAUUUCGUCCGACUUCAGAUCAUAUGAUGGCGAUGAAGAUGAUCAACCAAGCCCACGUUCGGAAGGGGAAAAUAAGGUCUUUCACUUCUUACUGUGGUGGACUGCCAUCCCCAGCUGCAGCAAACAAUCCGUUAGCAUAUAAAUUCAGGUAACUCGGAUUGGAUACCCUCCUUAAUUAUAUCUACUGUUUAUAGUUUUACUUCUAACUUCUAUUAACCUAUCAUUUCAGCUGGAGUCCUGCAGGAGCUAUUCGAGCUGGACGUAAUCCUGCAACGUACAAAUCUAACGGCAAAAUUGUAGAAGUUGAUGGUAUGUUGUCAGUGAUGAGCUAUUUUGAUUAUCAUAAUGAAUACGAGUCAUUCUGCACUUUUUCACUUUUAUCUUUAUGGUACAAAAUUUCAGGGAAGGAUCUUUAUGAUUCAGCUGCGAAAUAUCGGGUUCCAGACCUUCCAGCCUUCUCGUUAGAAUGCCUUCCAAAUCGCAACUCCCUAGUUUAUGGGGACUUGUAUGGAAUAGGACAUGAAGCAUCAACAGUCUUUCGUGGAACUCUUCGAUAUGAAGGUAUGACAUUGCUUGGCUUCUAGGUUAAAUUAAUGCUUAGAUUCUUACUUGAAUUCUAUUUUGCGUAGGGUUCGGAGAACUAAUGGCAACGCUUUCAAGAAUUGGUUUAUUCGAAUCUGAACCUCAUCCGCUUCUUAAGGAUGCAAAUAGACCCACGUUCAGGAAAUUUUUGUCUGAACUCCUCAAAAUGAAAACUGAAGAUCUGGACAGACCUCUGAUCGGAGAGAAAAUCAUCCCCGAAAGGAUUGUCACGCUCGGAUACUGCAAAGAGCAAGGAGCUGCUGUGAGGGCAGCUAAGACUAUCGUGUAUGCACAUUGCACCUCUUACCCGUUUUCUUUCCAUUCUUCUUGUGUGCUUGUAUUUUCUAGACAGAGUAAUACUGAAAUGUAUCGGUUUGUUCUCC
Molecule: long non-coding RNA, 58678 nt
Filed under: Malus domestica (apple)
Lineage: Eukaryota; Viridiplantae; Streptophyta; Magnoliopsida; Rosales; Rosaceae
Description: long non-coding RNA (MDOM_LNC001456)
Source: RNAcentral